Molecule: long non-coding RNA, 71084 nt
Filed under: Ananas comosus (pineapple)
Lineage: Eukaryota; Viridiplantae; Streptophyta; Magnoliopsida; Poales; Bromeliaceae
Description: long non-coding RNA (ACOM_LNC024338)
Source: RNAcentral
AAUGAUAUAAACAAAGUUCAGAUCUGCAACCAGUAUAUCUUCUAUACCAGGUUUCAAUACUUAUAUAACCACAUCUUCCCCAGAAUUUUCAGCCUUGCAGCAUGAACCUGGAAGGAAGUUACAGAAAUCUUCAAAAGUGCAACCUCAUAUGAAACAAAGUAAAAACAAAAAGGGUCUUUCACAUACAUAAACCCUAACAAUUCAUCUACUUACAAAUAUAUCCAUCUAACAUCUGAAUUUCCAUAUAUAUCCCCCAAAACUACAAAAUACACUUAUCUUAAGUUGGGUGUCACCCAAUUUAUGAGGGAAAUUGGUUUUAUAUUAAGAGAAACUAUAAAUAAGGUAUUUUCGUAAAUAUAAGGAUAGCAUUUCUUGAAGGGUAAAUAUAUCAAAUCAAGAUUGAAGAGACAAAUCCAUUAAUAGAUAUAUUUGCAGGAUUAAACAAUAAAUAUUUUAAUUAGGGAGGUCAACAUACAAACCUGAGCAAUUGAGGCUGAGGCAAUGGGAACUGGAUCAAUAUACUCAUAGACACUAUCUAAUGGCCUCUGCAAUUCUUCACGCAAGAUAGCCUCAAUCUGAUUGAAAGCACUUCUGAAAUUCCUCUACAUAUUCUGUAGGAAACAAUGUUAGGUGCAGAUGCUAUGAACUGCACCUCUGAGUAAUCAGUUGAAAUUCUGGUUGAUGAAUUAUGAGAAAUUAUAACCACCAAGAUUUGUCAGUAAACUGGGUGCCACCUUUUCAGCACAUAAAUAUGACCACAAGAAAACAUAGCUAUAAAUUUGAGAAAACAUCAGAGGAGAAAUAUAUUCUCUUUCCAGCAGUGGAAGAUUAGUAAGCUUAUCGAUUUAAGAGAAUACGAAAUAUACCAGAAAAGAGAAUACAUUGCUAAAGUCUUCAAGCUACAAAAGGGGAAUUAAAAGUUAACAUAUAACAUGCAUCUCUUUACCUGGCCUAACUUGAUGUAAGUUGCUCCCAUGCGUUCAAAUAAUUUCCGCACAUAAAUUGGGGACAGCAAUCCAAGCUGCAUGUCGGUUGGUAGCCUCAAAGAAGUGCUUGUGCUUGUUGCCUGCAUGAAAUCGAAGAUAAAAGCUUUUACUACUACUGAAGUUCCUCUCUAUAAUUUGAACACCACAGAAGCAGCAUCUAGAGAUAAGUUUAUAAUACGUAUCAUGGUUCAUGGAGGGUUAAAUGACUCCUCUGUACUAAGAACUAUAUAUCCUGUUUGCCUAAGUAUAUUAGUUAUACGGAAAAUUGUCUAGCUUGCAUAGCUUAUUUGCUUUAUUUGAGAGGUUUUUAGUCCAACUCAUCAUUGGGCAAGUCCGGACAAACUGUACAGCCUUUUCAGAGAAAGGACCUUAACAUAAAAGAUAAGAUCUAGACAUAUUCGUUGCACCUCCCUCGAAAUACUUUCUUGGAGAGACAAUAAGGUACAAAAAAAUUUAAAUGAAAAAAAUUUAUUCUUUAGGAUUAGUGAAAAGUGCACACACUUCUCAGCUCAAUAAUCAAUUAUAAUUGUUUAUAUUGGGUAUUGACAUUUGCACAAAGCAUCUAGAUGAUUCAAUUCACCAAAUCAGAUAAGCAUUCCCAGAAAAGCUCUUAACUAAUGCAAAGAAAGCAAAAUUUUUACAUUGAUAAUGUUUCAUCUAUUGCUGGGAACUUUAUUUUGUAGAGGAUGUAUAUCUCUGUACCUUUGACACAUCAUUUAGCCACUCUGAACCAACCUCAAUAACAGCUUGGAUGACUUGGGCCAUCCUCAGUGCACCCCGAGGUCCUAUACUGAGUGAUGUUUGGAGAAUGUCUUCCACUAGCUUCGGCAACUCAUUUAUCUUGUCUGGAUCAAAAUAAAGCAUUAUACACAACUGUGCCUGAAAAUUAGGAUGUGCGGUAUAGUUAUACUAAAUCAACAAGACCAAGAUGAAAUGAUGAGGCAAUUUGACACUCUAAAUUUGAAAAUGUUGGCUUAUAGAUACUGUACUAUUUGCCCAACAUACAACUAUGUAAGGUUGUUAGGGAUUGAUUCUACAACAGUCACCCCUUAACUUUGGACUCAGGUUGAGGCCAGGCUAAUGUUGAAGUUUGCGCAACACCUCACCAUAUCCAAUGUGAAACAAUUGAUUACUCUAAAAGCUUAAGCUACUAAGGAAUGGUAUUCAUACAAUUUUAUAUUUAACACUUUCCCUCGUAUCUGGGCUCAAGGCUUAGGUCCAAAACCAUGAUAUAAAACUAAGUAAAUUUUAUUUAAACGCCAUUAAUUAUUAAUUAAUUAAAAAAUCACAAGGUAAUAUUUAUAGGACCAAAGUUAAUUUUACAGCUAGUGAGAUAGAACAGAAUCUAAAAUCCUGUUAAGAGUAGAGUGAUACUUUUCAAAACUCAUACUUUUCUUUUAUGAAAGUCAGUCAGAUAACAUCAUAUCUGAAAAAACAUCUUGAGUAUAUCAAACUGAAUAUGAGGCAAAAUUCUAGUUACUUGCGGAUAAAAAGAUAUUCACAAUCAAACAUUUUAUGAAUAAAAAGUCAAACAUUGAUCACGAUUUUGGAGGUCUAAAUAAUCUCAAGCGUCCCGAAAUUCGUACUGAACUUCCAACUUAGUAGGUACUAUUAAGUUCGAUUGUCAGGCCUCAUCUAGUUCUUCUGUCUGUAUAUUUUAACUAGUUCUUCUCGAUCCGUACAAAUAAAAUUAAGAAUCGUCUCGAUCUGAAUUAAUAUUAGAAGAUACAUCUUUGAACUUCGAUUCAAUCUGAAUCAAACUUAACCACCUAAAUUUUCUGUAUCAGGAUGUUCUCAUGUUAGUCACAACACUUUUUAAGAUGACCCUCAACUAAUUAAGAGUGCAAAUUAAGUUUGUCCUGUAGAAUGCGAAAUGCAUAAGAUACAUAAAACUGAUAUGUGAGAUGAGAUCUUAGGAUUUGGCUCCUAUAAGAAAUGAUCCAGAAUUGUAUGUACCAAACGAAGGUUAGAUAAACAGCGCCAGCAGAGUUUAGUAUAAACUUGAAAUAUAAAAUCGAAAGUAAUAAUGCUUCCUAAUUAAUCAACUUGGAUGAAGGCUUAUACAGACAUUCUUUAGAUUAGAUGUAUUAAGAGUAAAUUAAAUAGGUUUUCAUUACUCGUUCACUUACAUAAAGUAAUAACAUAUAAUUUCCUUGAAAUUUUGAAGCAAUUCAAAAUACAUCAUUAGACAAUGUUAUUAGAUCUCAGCCAAGAGAUAAGAAGUAGCUAACUCAAAAAUUUACUGUUAAUUAAAAAAAAUUCUAAAAGCAAUCAGAGUAUGAAACUAAGUGUUGGAGGAGGCAAAAUUUAGAUAAAAAAAUUAAUUAAAUUAGAUGGGGGUAAGAGGGGAAAGGAGGGAUGCGAACUUGAUGCGAUGGAUCUCCUCAAAGAACUGGAGAUCGUAGACCUUGUCGGUGACGGCGAAGUGGACGACGCCGGCGAUGUGGUGGCGCUCGAUCGAGGUGGUCGACGGCGACGUUGCGCCGGCGCACACGAGGCCUAGAAGAUCGAGGGCCGAAAAGAUCAGGGCGAAUACGAGGGCGAUUUGGGACUGGGAUCGGAGCUUGGAGAGGACGCGGAAGAAGAGGGAGGAGGGGAUGAGCAGAGGUGGAGAGAGCGAGAGCUCGAGCUCGCGCGAAGGGGGAGAGCUCGAGCUCGCAGAGAAAGGGGUGAGGGAGCAAAGGGAUCGACGCAGGGGAGGGGUGCGGCAGAGUGGGAUCGGGUUGGGUUCGGAUGAGGAUGAGGGUUAGUGUUAGGGUUAGGGUUGUAUGAGUGCUCAAAGUAAAUAUAUUUAAUGAUAUUAGUCGGUAAAGAUACGUAGUUUAAAAUAAUUGUCGCUAAAGUACAAAUAGAUAAUAAGUAAUAGUGGCUGUUCAAUAAUCGCCACUAUUAAAUUGCCGCUAAAAGGUAAUUUUGUUGUAGUGUAAUGUCACUAUAUUUUUAUCUUUAUACUAAAAGCAUGCAAAUAACAUAUAUCCACACAUUCUCAACUUAACUCUACAAUGCAUGAAACCUAUAUACACAUACAUGCUUAAGUGACAUUUAGACAUAAAAGGAGAUUCGAUGAAUUCAGGAAGCACUACCCAUCUCGUAGGGUUACUAGGGUGCUAGAAUCCAUGUUCCGGAAUUUAUAGUCGCCAAUCGCCCACGACCCUCGGUAAAUGAAGCCAAAACGGGGUUUUUCCUCAAUUUCUUUGCGUAGACUUGUCGGAUCCUCGAACCGAGUCUCCCAACGCGUCGGUUUUCUCACCAAGUAGGGCUACAAGAGAUCAAACCUUAGUUAGAUCUCAAUCCUAGCAAAACCCUAAUUUGACCCCUAGGGUUUCCAUUAUUGCCAAAUAUUCACAUAAAUCUCAUAAUACAUGGAGAUUUAUACACUAAUCUACCAUAAUAGCUUCUACAUAUCAUAACUAGAAGAGAUUAGCAUAAACCCUAGCUAAACAUCACAAGAACUCACCUUGAGUUCUAGCUUCUUCCUCCACUUGUUGCACAAGUGCUAACUCUACCCUCCAAUAGGCUUUCUUCUCCACCAAGGCCCCCCUCUUGCAGCAAUCCUAGUGAGAGAAGGAGAGGAAAGGAGGGAGAGAGAGUAAGAGGGGCUCUAGAGAGAGAAAGAGAAAGCUUGUCUCUUUGGGUCUCAAAUGGGGAAAUGAGAGCUAGGGCAGCCAACUCUCCUAUAUGGUCCCAAAAAUGACAUUUACACUCAGGCCCUUCAACAAUACACCCAACUGAACGAACCCACGCAUUUUGCGAGUACGUGGUCCGGACCUUGCAUAGGGUCCGGACCCCGAGAGCAACAUUUCACAAUUUUCGCAGCGAGGGUCCGGACAGUGCUACAGGGUCCGGACCCCGAGAUCAAAACAUAUUCAAAACACUCUAAAUUUUUCCAGAGUUGCUCUCCAAGGUCUUAACACCAUAUAUAACCAUUUCGACGCACUCGAAACCUCAUUUCGGUCAAUUUGACUGAAGUUCAGUACAACCUACCGAAGUUUCGGUAUAUUACAUAGAUAGUGGGGUCACCGAGUGUAGGUCACCUUAUGUAUGAUAAAAGAAUGUAAAUGUUUAUUGGAGAUGUAAUUUGGAAUGUAAAUGUAUUAGAGAGCAAAGGUUGUAUAUUGAGGAAAGAAUCAUGUAUUAUGUAAAGUGUAUUAUGUAAAGUGGAAAAAGCAUGUAAAUUGUGAAUGUCCAAUGUUGUAAUAGUUAGAAUUUACUUUCACUUGCUCCUGCUGCUUGUCCUCGUGCAAGCCAUAUAUAUUGAAAUUUUCCUGGGCAAUUAUUUCUUUAUACAUGCUUAUGUUGUUGUGAUUGAGCCUUGGACGGACAGGGGAGGCUCUGUCCGUUGGGCGUCUGUGCACGUGCCCAAACACCAAAGUGGCGGUCCCGAGGCGUUACAUCCAGACACGCACCGGGCGGGGUUCCGCUGGGUCCCGGGGCAUGACAGACUGCCAGCUGCAAGGAUGACGAGAAGUGCAAGCAUAUCAUUGCCGAAUUGCUGUUGCAACCCAUACCACACUUGCAGUACACCUACGCCCAAGACUUGUUACGAUACAAGGGAAGGAUUUACGUGGGGGACCAAGGUGACAUUAAGGAGAGAAUAUUAAGCCAGUUGCACUCAUCGGCCCUGGGAGGCCACUUGGGGGUGCGACACACCUACAGGAGACUAAACCAAUACUUUUACUGGUCGAGUCUCAAACAAGUUGUACAAAACUACACCAAGAACUGCAUGGUUCGUAUACAGAAUAAGGUGGACGGUCAACUUUAUGCUGGCUUACUUCAACUGUCACGCCCCGGGACCGGCGAAGGCCCUCCCGGUAGCGCGCCCAGACCCGCCAUAUGUCUACACAUAUAAGGCGUCUACAAUACAAGCGGAAGUAAAGCAAGAGAUAGAAUAAAUAGAAUGAACAGCAACUAAUGAUAUCAGAGCGAGUAAAGUUCUAUCAUUUAAACCAGAGUAAAAGAAACAUAGUUAAACCAUAAAAGAAAAUAUAAGUAGUACAACAUCGAUGUCUAGUACAAAAAUGGUGGUCUCUAGUACACGGGUAAACUCUCAACCUCUCACAAAAAGAAAUACAUCGAGAGGAAGACCACCUAAACUCGUCUCUCACUGAAGGGCUAACUCGAAGCAACGCCCUUCCCACGGUCCCUAGCCUCUCCCGGCGUGGAAGGCUCUGAAAGAAAACAUAAAACAGAGGGCGUGAGAACUAUAAUUUAUAGUUCCCAGUGGGCAAUUACUGACCUCAGCUCAAUGCACCACUAGGCCCCAAAAGGAAAGGGUAAGUCGAAAGCAAUAGUAAUAACGAGUAAUUUGCAUUUAUGAAAGCAUAAUGGAAAUGCUAAACUACUACUUGCAAUUAAACAUGGCAUUUAUGCAAUGCACAAUUAUCUUGUCAUGAAGGAUAUGUCUCUACUUAGGCAUAGAUAAUGUCAUGGUUUGCUUAAUGAAAUUAUGAGGAUUAUCCUUUAUCAUAGCAACAUUGUUUAUAUGAAUACAAUUAAGCAAUGCCUCCUAGCAUACUACAUGUAUGUAUAUAUACCCAAGUCCAAAUCUAUGCUAGAAGCAAGUACGAGUAAUCCAACUACUACUCUUUAUUUGGUAGUGAUUAUAACAAACUCAUCCCGUGUCGAUUUCCAUUUCCAAUUAAGGACCUACCAAAGGUAGUCCAGCUUGUGCCGCCUAAGUGCCUGUGGUAGCCCAACAUCCCUACUCUUGGAAUGUGUCUGUCCCACUCGACCCCGUAGGCUUCUCAAUACCGCACGAGCGAAACAUAAGUCGCGUAGGCUAACUCCGGAGUGCCGGCUUGUAGGGAGCGACCCUCAUAAGCAUGUGCGAGUGAGCACAAAUGGCAAGCAAGCAUAGUCAACGCCUUAAAUACCCAAUCAUCAUGUCUUUAACAUGGCAAUAUUCGCUAGCAUCUCGAAGAUCUAGUUCUAGGUCACAAUGUGAAAUUCUAAUAUUCACUAAGUCUAGUGCCCCUUUAUGACACUUAGACAUUUCGAUGAACAAGCACACUCCAACUCACUCAAUGGCACUAUCCACUAAAUUCACACAUAACCUGAGCUCAAUGCCCCUUUAUGACAUUAGCCCAAUUGUACACAAGUAGUGCAAAUCCCCGAGCCCCUUUAUGGCUCACAAGAAACCUUUAAAUCUCAAAUAGAAAUAACUUUAAAUGCAUGCAUGAGAUGCUCAUUUUCACCAUAGGAAUUAUGAUUCCAAGUCUCAAUAGGAUGCUAAACCUGUUCACGUUCCAUAUGCUAGCUCUCUACUACAUAGAGGUCCGAAAUUUUCACCACAUGUAACGUAGGGAAUUUAAGCCUUCUAAAAAUCAUAAUAAAUAUAUCAAACAUGAAAAUGCAUGAAUAAACAUUUAAUAGUACUCAAAUAAACACAAAUAAGAUUUUCUCAUUGUGUGGCUAGGUUAAACCCACCGAACCGUCGCGUGCUCCUUCGAUUCGCCGAACAGAGUUGUCCACAAGUCUCAAAAUACCCUAAAAGUAUUGAGCGAAGAGAUACACGGGCAUUACGAUCAACUAUAGGAUCAAACAUUAACCAUCUCGAAAAUAGGGUCAAAACUCACCUCUAGUGCAAAAUCUCUUCCUAAGCUCCAAAAGAGAGCUAAAUCCCUUCCAAUCCAACCCAAAGGAAGGCUCUAAUCCAAGUGAUCAAGCUCCAAAAGCCCUAGAUCAAAAAUCCCCAAAAUCAACCCUAAAAUCUCAUUCUAGGGUUCCAACACAUGAAAACCUCAAAUCCAAAGUCUAGAUGGAGAGAAAGGGCUACCAACCUCUAAGAAGCUUCAAUCCAAGCUCAAAGGGUGAAGAUCUUCUCUCUUGCAAGCUCCAAGUCCAAGCACCAAGCACCAAGGAAGAAGAUAGGGUGAGGAAGAUGCUCCAAGUCCACUAGUAGCUCUCAAACUUCUUCUUCUUCCCUCCUUCUUCCCCUUCUCCUUCUUCUUCUUCUUCUCUAUCAAGGGUGUAGAGAGAGUUGAGAGAAGAGAAAUGAGGAGAAGAGAGAGUGGAUGGGUCAUAUAGACCCUCUAUUGUAACAAAAUCCAACUAGGUCCCUCAAAAAUCCAAUAUUGCAACAGCCCGGUCUGGGCAGUUUUCGCCCAGAGGGACCGGUCUCUCCCCAGCAGGGACCGGUCUCUCGCUGCGAACCCGAGAAACCAACGUUCGGGAACCGGUCUCUCCCUGCGCGGGACCGGUCUCUCACUGCGUAGACGCGCUCGGGGACCGGUCUCGCCCGCCAGGGACCGGUUGCCUCAGGACUGCCGCAACACUGCUCACUGGGGGACCGGUCUCUCCUUUCAGGGACCGGUCCCCGAGAGUGAAAACUCUCAGGACUGGUCCAGAAUUCAGGUUUUCGAACUUUUUAGGUUGGAAAACAUUCUACGACCCUCCACCAAGUGUGGAAAAGCUCGAAACACAUCCAGUCACUCGAACCUCGCAAUUUGCAAAGGUCCAGUGUGCUACAUCAACCCCUGUCGAUUCCCACAAGGGAAUGACAAGAAAUUACUAUGGAUUUUAUUGAAGCCCUACCAAAAUCCGAAGGCAAAGACAGUGUUAGUGGUGAUAGACCGACUCACCAAGUAUGCCAAUUUCCUCUCCUUGACCCACCCCUUCACAGCCUCAAGCAUCGCGAGAGCCUUCCUCGACACAGUCUAUAAACUGCACGGGUUGCCUAAAACAAUACUGACGGACCGAGACAAGGUGUUCACAAGCAAGAUGUGGUAAGAAAUAUUUAAACUGUUGGGAGUUAAAUUGCUAAUGAGCACAGCCUACCACCCGCAAACCGACGGCCAAUCCGAGAGGCUAAACCCGUGCCUCGAGACUUACCUUCGUUGCAUGUGCUCUCAUCAGCCACACACAUGGCAUAAAUAGCUGAGUAUGGCGGAAUGGUGGUAUAACACCACAGCUCGCUGGGAACGACACCCUACCAGGCUCUCUACGGACAUCCGCCGCCCAAUGGUUUAGUCGUGAAUUUAGGAGUAGAAACCUCACCUACGAUACAAGAGUGGGGAAGGGAACAAGAAGGGAUGACACGACUGCUAAAGGAAAGACAGCUAUAAGCCCAAAACCGCAUGAAGCAGAAUGCCAACAAAAGAAAGGUACAUAAAGAAUAUCAAGUAGGAGAUUAUGUAUACCUGAAGCUGCAACCUUAUAGCUAAGUGAGUGUCGCAGUUAGGUGAAACCUGAAGCUCUCAGCGCGAUACUACGAGCCUUUUAAAAUCAUGGAGAAGAUUGGACAAGUGGCAUAUUAACUACAGCUGCCGGAAGGAUCGAAGAUCCACUCGGUGUUCCGUGUAUUAUUGUUGAAAAGGAGCCCCCAAACGAACUCACCGGUAAACCCAAUAGUGCCCUUGGUCGGGGAAGAUGGUCAGCUGCUCGCACGGCCGGAGCGAAUAUUGGAGAGGCGCAUGGUGAAGUAAGGAAACUGAGCAGCUAGCCAAGUGCUCGUGAAGUGGGAAAGCCUGGACGAAGGAGCAGCUACCUGGGAGGAUUAUUGGUUUCUUAAGUCCCAGUUCCCGAACUUUGAUCCGGAGCCCGAUCCGUGAGGCCACGGAUCUUCUAAAGUGGGGAGGAGUUGUAAGACCUAUAGAAUAAAUAGUAGAAAUAAUUAGUAAACAGGGAGAGAAAGGUAGCAACUUUACUUAGUAGAGUAACCGGUAGUCGCAAGAAAGAAAAUGGUGAGCUCGGGGAGAUGAUCAGGCUGAAGAUGCUUCGAGAGAGCUCUAGCCAGUCGUCGGAGGAAGAGGAGGCAUGAGGAAGCUAGGGCAUCCUCCAAACAGGGAAGGAGGAGAAGAUCAGAGUAGAGAAAUAGAUACACAAAAUCUGGAGUCUGGGCGAAGUAGUAAUACUUCAGAGACUGGCGGGUCAGAGGACCAAAACUCUGGAUCGGGGGGAAAUGGCGGACCCAAAACCCCCUAUUUGGAGGGUUGAAGAAAGAGGGCGCCCGCUAACCCACGUUCGACUACUAGGAUGCUUUGGACUGGCCGAGCCCAACUAAGGCCCAAGCCCCUACUGAAUUGAAGCCAAAUCGGUCCGAACCUCUUUUUAUCACUUUUGCGAUAUAACCUUCAUAGAAUGGCUAUUUUCAUUUCAGUAUGAAUCACUAGGCAUUAUAAGUGCCAAAUUAUGCUGUAAACAAAAACAUAUGGAAUAUAGUAAAGCUUUUUCUUCCCAAAUUCUCUUCCUCCUUCCCGUCUCUCAUCUUCUUCUCCUACCUUCAUCUCUCUUUUCCCUCUUUAACCCUCUCUUCCCUUCUCGCUCUCAACUCAGCCGACUAGCAUUAUCGGAGGUAAUUCUGCUGUUGUAACGCCAUCAUCCUCCCUGCCAUCCUUGUCUCGGCAAAAUCUCGUCAUCGACGGGUUGCGAGUUGUCUGGGGUGUUAUAUCCGGUCUGAAUCUACAAAAUAGAAAAUACAGAUCUAGUUUUGUAAAAACUCAAACUUGUAAAUUUUUUAUGCAAACUGGCAUAUUUUUUAUGCAAAUAGAUUAAAAAAAAGGGGCCAAUUUGCAUAAAAAAUCCACUAAUUUUAGCUUUUGCAAAAGUGGGCCAUCUUUUUCGUUUUUGCAGAUUCGGACCGAAUUUUCAGCAAACUGACCAAAAUAUCAGUUAUUACUUUUUCUCUCUCCUUUUUCUCUCUCCUUUUUUUUUUUUUCUCUUGUUCAUUUUUUUUUCUCUCGCUGAAGAGGCAGCGGAGGCAGAGGCGGAAGCGGAAACCGCUCGCCUCACCUCUCACCCUCAUGCUCUCGCCCUCGCCCUCGCCCUCGCCCUCGCCCGUGCACUCCCCAGCUUCCUCGCCUCCGACCCCGCCAAGGCUGCGCCGCAACUCUUUUUUUUUUCCUCUCUGACUCUCCUCCACCAUCUCCGACGACGACGACUCUCUCAUCCUUCCCCGCCAUUCUUGUCCUCUCCCUCUCCUUCCUCCUCUACCGCCUUCGCCGACGACGCAUCUUCGCCGAUGCCGGCACCGUGGAGAUCGCUGAGGCGCUGCAGCCUCGGAGCGUAGGGUUCUUAGCGGUGCUGUCGCCGGCGCUUGCAGAGACGGGUGACAAAAAAAUAUAUAGAAAAAACAAGAAAAAAAUAAAGAUAAAAAAUUAUAAAAAAAAGAUGAAGAUGAAAUUGCACUGUUAAAAAAAAAUUUACUGUUUUAAAAGAACGUUGCACUAUUAAGAUGUAAACUGCAGCUUUAAGAUAAAAAUUACACUCUUUAAACAAAAUUACACUCUUUAGGAGAUAUUUACACUGUUUCUCCUCUUAUUGCACUCUUUCAGAUGUAAAAUGCAUCCAUUAAGAUGAAAGUUACACUAUUUAAACGAAAGUUGAACUCUUUGAGAGAUAUUUAUAUUGUUUCUCCUCUUGUUGCACUUUUUAAGAUGUAAACUGCACCCCUUUAAGAGAUAUUUAUACUGUUUCUUCUUUUGUUGCACUAUUUCUCCUCUUGUUACACUAUUUCUUCUCUUAAAGGGUGCAGUUUAAGAGAAAAAAUAGUGUAACAAAAGAAAAAAUAUUGCAACAAGAGAAAAAACAGUGCAACAAAAAAGAAAUAGUAUAAAUAUUUCUUAAAGGGGUGUAAUUUACAUCUCAAAGAGAGCAACAAGAGAAGAAACAGUAUAAAUAUCUCUCAAAGAGUGCAACUUUCAUUUAAAGAGUGUAACUUUCAUCUUAAUGGAUGCAGUUUACAUCUGAAAGAGUGCAAUAAGAGGAGAAACAGUAUAAAUAUCUCCCAAAUGGUGCAAUUUUCAUUUAAAAAGUGUAAUUUUUAUCUUAAAGCUACAGUUUACAUCUUAAAGAGUACAACUUAUGUCUAUAAUAGUGCAAUGUUCUUUUAAAAUAGUACAAUUUUAUUUUAACGGUACAAUUUCAUCUUCAUCUUUCUUUUUCUCUAAUUUUUUAUCUUUAUUUUUUUUCUUACUUCUUUUAUAAUUUUUUUUGGUCACCCUCUCUGCCAACGGCCACGGCGCCGACGACGACGUCGCUAAUUAAGGAUCCCUCGCUCCGAGGCUGCAGCGCCGCAGCGACCUCCACGGUGUCGACAUCGGCGAAGAUGUAUUGUCAUCGAAGGCGACAGAGGAGAAGGGAGAGCUAGAGGACAAGAAAGGCGGGGAAAGACGAGAGAAGCGUCGUUGUCAGAGACGGUAGAGGAGAGUCAGAGAGGAAAAAAAAAAAGAGUCGAGGCGCGGCCUCGGUGAGGUCGGAGGCGAGGAAGGUCGGGGGUGUGCGGGCGAGGGCAAGGGCGAGGGCGAGAGUAUGAGGGUGAGAGGCGAGGCGGACUGUUUCUGCCUCCGCUGCUUUCUUCGGCGAGAAAAAAAAAAAAACAAGAGAAAAGAAGCGGAAAGAGAAAAAAGAGAGAAAAAGUAAUAAGGUUAAUAAGGGUAUUUUGAUUAGUUUGUUGAAAAUUCGGACCGAAUUUAUAAAAACGAAAAAAGUAGCCCACUUUUAUAAAAAUCUAAAAUUAGUAAAUUUUUUAUGUAAAUUGGGCCAAAAAAAAAGAACAAAAAUUGUGCACUAGCUGCACGGAAAAUUGCCCACUGCUCUCAAAUCAGGGAGCAGCGAGCACCUGCAUUUGAUGCCACGCGGCGUCCAUCGGGAGUGGCCCCAGAGAAACUUGCUUGGGGCUACUUCCCCACAAAAUUUGGGCCGUGUCUCUUCCUCUUCUCCUUUGCUUCCGAGACUCAAGAACCCUUGCUUCUGUCCCGUCUCUGUCUUGCCUCUAGGGUUCCAAAACAAUCAGCUUCCUCCUCUCCGACAAAGCUAGCGUUCAUGGCGGGGAUGCGGGUUCCGCCGCAGGAGGACUCGGAGCUCCCCAUGUCCCGGCCGCCGCCUCCCCCGGCUGCCGGCGAUCUGGUGUCGGACGACGACCGAUCGGUGGCGGCCGACUCCUGGUCCAUCAAGAGCGAGUACGGAAGCACCCUCGACGACGACCAGCGCCACGCCGACGCCGCCGACGCCCUCGCCGCCGCCAACUUCCCUGCUGCCAUCUCCGACUACAGGUUUGCCCCACCCCCUUCUUGAUCAUCCUUAUCUCUUCUACUCCUUAUAUGUUAUUAGAGCAGUGCGUUUAGGAGAAGUACUUUGCUGAAAUCCCUCCCCUCCAGCAGCUUCUCUGUGUGAGCUUCUGCUUUUGGAACGCAGAAUCGCUUUUCUGCUUCCCUCCGCACCAGAAGCUCCGCGCUUUUGUGUUUUCUUGCGAAACCCUUUUGUUGGCGACUGGUUUCUUGCUGCUGAAAGACAGAAAGAGUAAUGAUUUUAGGAGAAGCAUUGUAUUGAAAUUCCUCCGGUAGCAUCUCUCUGCACCAGAAUCAAAAGUUCGCAAUUUGGGCUCCAGCUUUUGGGCCUCAGAUCUCACUUCUGCCUGCAUAGGCUCCGUACUUUUCCUAUUGCCAAACACUCUACUAGAACUGCUAAAAGCAGAAAUCUAUAUGCUUCUGAGUUCUUUCUGUCUGUUUGAUUGUGUGAUUAAACUAUUGACAUUUUGAUCAAAUCUGAACUUCUUGAUUUGGAGUGAUGCCUGUGAUAAUACAACAGUGCUCGUGGAACAACUUAAACUGUGCUUCAUGCAAGUUGUCGUUCUUAGCAAAGAGGGAAUGAUUACUUGCUGGACAUCACUCAUGAUAUUUCGGUCCUCAUUUCGAGUAAUUGUUCUGUUGAUAGGUUCCAUGAAGUUGGAAAAGUUGCCUUGAAGAACCAAGACUAGGUUUACCAUGAGUAUUUUGUUCUUCUGCUUUUGCUUGUGCUUAGAUGGCCCUGUUUUCACGUGUGCAUGUAUUACGCGCCUGCAUGUGAGGAGCGCAUGCAUGUGAUUGUCGUUGCACCUAAUUCUUUUUGUGUAUGUGUUUAAUGGGAUAUGACUGGUAAAUUGCAGAACUAGACUUUCCUCUGGAUUGACUAGUGAGGGAUAUGUUGCAUGCAGUCUACUUUUAUGGUGCAACUGGUUGUUUUUGCUUCUCGAUAUCGAGGAAUAUCCACAAUCAUCUUGUGUUGAGCUUUCCAUGUUUUGUCUUCUUAUGAGCCUUCUGGAUAUCGUUGAAUAGACGUUUUUGUCUAAAUGAAUUUGUUGCAUUACCAUGAAAAUUUCCAUUUUUUUGCUUCUUAAGUUAUCGGGUGCAUAUAGAUCAUAGUAAACUGAAAUGAUACCAAUAUAUAUAGGGCCUAUCAAUUAGGCUUCAAUUUUAUUAGCAUUCUUUGAUAUUAAUUAGUGGUAUGCCAAUUGAAUGGAAUUCAUUUUGCAAUACCAUAUAAAUGAAACUGGAACCUCGCUUAUUAUCUACUUCUUGUGCAUCUAUGUUGUGCCCUUCUUUGUACUUAAAGUUAGUUGAUUAUGGUGGUACAGGGCUAAAAAGUAAUAAAAAAGUCUAACAUAGGGCUACAAGGAUAGGUUGCAAAUUUAAUAUUGUCACGCCCCGAUUCCACAGCGGAAGUCCACGGGGAUGUCAACAGACCUGCCGAACAGGCAGAGUUUUUCCUGUCUAGACGUGUUAACAUAACAUAACAGUAGCAAAGCAAUUCUAGAGAUCACAAACUAAAAGUUUUCCAAAUCACAAGAGCAAUAAUAAAGUCACUAAAAAACGAACUAUAUGUAUCAGAGCAUUAUAAACAAAACUACUAUACAUCACUGUAUAACAUUAUGUAGUCCUACUAACCAGAAAGAUAGACGUACAAAUAAAAGGCCAUGGCCAUCGCUGGUCCUGAUAUAUAGCAUAAACUGAAACAUCUAGCUGGUGGUCCUCUAUCGCUCAAGUACACUGGUAGGAGGUACUAUCUAAGAAUAAUUCCUUACCUCGAUCAAUAGAAGGUGUAGCCGUCUCUGAAAAAAAAUCACAAGAGGGCGUGAGAACUACUAAACAGCAGUUCUCAGUGAGUACAAUUGACGACAACCACGACCUUCCCACUAGGUCUACUAGAGGCAAGAAUAAUGAAAGAACAGUGAAGUAUACUACAGAAUGAGUAACUGAGCAUAAUAUGAACAGAUAUAUAAUUACUGAAUUAUCAUGCCUCUAUUCAUGUAGUGAAAAGGAAGGAAAGGAGGUAACUAAAGCAUGCCUCAAUGCUAAUCUAAUAAACAAAUGCUGUAAUAGUACCUAAUCGCAACGACCGACUUAUAGGUUUGGUAAGCCUGUGCCAGCCUAGUGCGCGGACACACUCCCGCAGGUGUAACGGCAACACCUAGGAUACUGUCUCUGCUAUCGUUGGCCAGCAUCCAGAGCAGCACUCGAGGGGAGCGACCCUUACCGAGUAUCAUAGCACGUAUCACUGUCAAUCUGAAUACGGUUUUGUAGGCUAUGGUCUAUGCAAUGCUACGCUUUAGCACGUAUCACUAUCAAUCUGAAUAUGGUUUGCAGGCUAUGGUCUAUGCAAUAUUGUAAUGAUAAAAAAGAUCAGUAAUAUUGAUCCAUGUGCCCUCGGCACGAUCAUAGAGCCUAUCAAUUCACUAAUCACAAUGGCAUACUCAUAUACCUCCUAAUAUCUCAAAAAUAGUGCCUGCUAUUGCUGCACUCUUCCACGGCCUUUAUCACAAGUAUUUUAGGAUAUAUAAUGCAAUAAUCAAUACAUGUCAAUGUCUAGUGAACCCUUUUGGCAUAACCUCAUAUAUGUAGUAUAUCAACAAAAGAAACUUGAUAAUCUCAAGAAACUAAACUGGUCAUUUCCAUAUGUUACACAUCAUGAAUCAUGUAUCAAACAUAAUGCAUGUAAUGUCAAUGGCCUCUUUCAGCUUAGACUAGUAUAUGUACCUUAUUACAUGAGGAGGAAUUCAUUGUGAAAAGCAAUUUGACCUAUUGUUCAUACAGUCUAGUUUAAGUUAGUACCCUCAAGAAUACAUCAUAUUAUCUUUUCCUUCUACUCAAUUCUAUGCCAUUACCACACUCUACCAACAUAUAUAAUCAUAUGCAUAUACAUAUGUAUAUAGAUAGACAUAGAAGGAAAUUUGCCGUUUUCGGCGACACGGAAUCCACCUCAGAUUGCUAAUCCACUAGCGGCAAGCAAUCAACCUCCAAUGCGCCUUUCCUCAGCUCAAAUCUAGUAGGGAAAACACUAAGAAAACACCAAAAUCAGCGAGGGUGCUGUCAAGGCAAUUACAAGAACGAAAUUCUAUAAUUUCGGCAAUUCGAUUAAUAAAUGCUUGAUUUUAGUUACCUCAACAUCCAGUAGGAAGAACUUUAAAACAACCAAAAGUGGUAGAGGAAUUCGGUGAAGAUCACAUAAUGCUCGGCUGGAAGAAAUGGACGACGAAAUCAAUACAAUUCUCACAAUCGCUCAAAAUCAGUUCAAUUUCAAUUAAAUUCAAAAUCGUCUUUCGGUUCAACUUACUAACUUGAAAUUUAGUUGUAAGGACAAGUCUACAAGUUCCCCUUCCCUAGUAGAACAUCAACACGAAUUCAGUUUGAUGCCUACAACUCAAAUACGAGAAAAGGAUGGAGAAGUUAGUAAAAAUCCAUCAAAAUCCAAAUUUCGGUUCGCUUCGAUCAAUAACUUAAUUUCAUUCCAGUUCACUUUAAUUCAAUCGGAAUAAGGUGCGACUAGAAGAUUAUCACCAUUCUCACCUUGGAAUCAAUUUCAAUUUCGAACUUAGAGGCGAAAUUGGACUAGAUUGGAGCCUCCAAAAGCACGGUGUUGCGGCUGCGAACCGACUACCUUUACUAUUGCCGCGCCCGUUACUGCGUCUGCUGCUGUGCUUCCUGCUGCUACUAUUUGCAGCCGCAGCCGCAGCCACAGCAGCAGCCCCUGUUGCUGCUGGCUGUAGUGGUAGCAGCCCCUGCUGCUGCUGCUUGUGGCGUCGACAAACAUUCCAACAGUGCCUGAAAGUUCACGGCGAAAAGCAUGUGAAAAACGGUUCCAAUUCGCAUGAAAUUCGACUUCAAUUUAACUUCAACUCACAACGAAAUCCAAUAAGACCUCCCAUCCUAGAUUCUACCAUCAAGAAUCAACAAAAACUAUAAACGAGAAAAUAACAAUUAUUAGAAUACUAACCUGAGCGUCGAAACACCAAAAAUCAUGCGCGCGGUUUCGAUCGGCUCAUCAAACGGCACCAAAACCAAAUCCUUCUCUCCUCCUCCUCUUUCCUCUCUCUCUAUGCGUGCUGGUUGGAGAUGGAGAGGAACUUCAAGAGAAUUCUCAGGUGCUUUAGUGGAAUUCCGCUAAAUGUAACAAUAUGCUAAUAAGUCCACAAGUGACCAAUACUCUCAAUUUAGUCCAAUUUCCACCUGAUACACUCAAUUGGAGCCCUUCUGUAGGUUGGUUUAUGCUCAAAUUUGAUGGGCAAUUUCAAGUAACAUUCAUUGGUAGUAAUUCACCUUAACCUUUUAGUUUGGACAAUUUUCAAUCACUGAAAAUCACUAAAAUUUCUAAAGGAUUGCUGUUAAGCUCCGUUUUCAUUGCUCGAGUAACCGAAUAAUACAAAACUUUAAAUCCGGUCUUAGAAAGUUAGUAUAGACAACUUUGCAAAGUUUCAUAAUUUUUUUGCCACUGUAAAUUUUCUGCUAAAAUGCAAGUUCUGUUCCUUGUAGAAAAUUUCAAAUCUCCUUUUUUUCAUUUGAUUUCACUACAAAUCAUUUCAAAUUAUCUUUUACUUCUUUAAGUCCAAUAAUAAUAGUAUCUCCCACAGUUUUUAUUUGCACUUGCUUAUAUAAUAAAAAUCCAAAGUACUACAAAUAUGGUAAGAGUUGCUCAAGUCAACCACCAGAGGAAAUCGUUAUAGGAAUUAAUUUCUACUAAUCCACUGUUUAAAAAAGCGCGCCUAGGCGCAGCGCCUAGGCGCCUAGGCUCUAGGCGCACAAGCCAGCGCCUAGAGCAGCUCUAGGCGGGCGCCAUGACUCAGGCUAGCGCCUAGGCAGCCUAGGCGCGCGCCUGGGCCUAGGCGUAAGGCGCCCUCAAGGCGCGCCUAGGUAAUAUUUAUAGUAACGGGUUUGGAUCCAGAUUUUAUUGGUCUAACGGGUUGAAAUAUCUAAAAUAAACCCAAUACCCUAAACUAAACCCUAAAUAAUCAUCAAUUAUUUCCCUAUUCCCCUCUCCCUGUCCGCUCUUCCCUCUCCCUCUCCGCUCAGCCCCUCUCCCUCUCCGCUCGCCCGCUCGGCCAUCUCUCUCUCUCCGGCGCUCCCUCUCCGGUUGUCCUUGCUUCCGGCACCUCCUCCUUGCUUCUUCAACUCGCUCGCCUCUUCUUCUAUGGUUUUUUGUCUCUCCCUUGGCCUCUCUCUAGUUUCUCUUUUAGUUUUUUGUGUAUAUUUCUAUUUUUUUUUUUAAAGCAGUGCUUUCUAUGCUUUUUUUUUAAGUAGAAAUUUUCUGUUUUAUUUUUUAAAAAAACAGCAUUUUACUUGAAAAUAAAACAGCAUUUUAACAUUUUAAAAAACAGCAUUUUACUUGAAAAAACAGCAUUUUACUUGAUAACCUUUAUGCAUAUUACUUUUUUAUGAUCUUGUGCUUAUGAUUAUAUGCUUUUCACAUCUAACUUUUCUAUAUGUUUGUGAAUUAAUACUUACAUUUAUGCUGUCCUUUAUUUUGAGAUAAAAAGAUAAUUUGUUCUUUACUUUUAUCUAUAUUAUUUAGAUAACUAUAGAAUAUUUAUUGUGGUAAUAUGAUUUUAUAGAGUAUAUUUAAUGCUGCUUAACAAUUAGUAGAAAGAAUGGUAAGAAACUUCUUGAUUAUUUACUUAUUUCAAAAUUUUAUGAAAGUGUGCGCCUGACCUCUCUCGGGCGCGCGCCUGCGCCUUUCGCCUUGCGCCUAGGCUCCAACAGGCCUUUGCGCCUAGAUGCGCCUUGGGCUUUUUUAAACACUGUACUAAUCUAAUUUAAAUAUAGAUCGAAAGUUAUUUCCCUUCAUUGCAUAUCUGCAAGGUUUUGAUGAUCUAGCAUAAAAAGGGAUAGCUAGUGUUAGAAAGGAGAUAAAUGAGGUAAAGGAGGAAAAAGAGGAUAGGGAAAAUGCUCCAAUGUGGCGUAGAAAUUCAUUCGUGGAUAGAAUCUACUAUAAUUUAAUGAAAAUCGGCUGAAUAUGUAUAGUCCCAUAUUCAAUGUGUCUUCACACUGCUUCUCCAUUGUUGCAACUCUUCUAAUUGUGGAAAAUUCUUUGGAAUCCCUUCGUAUCUCGUAUAAUGAAUUCUAUCACUAUUAAUAUCAUAUAAAACUCCUAUCUACAAAAAUAGCUUCAUGCGUAUCUGAUAUGUCUAAACUCAUUUGCUAGCUGUUUGCAUAGUCCCACUUGAAUCUUAACUUUCGAAAGGAAACAACCAACACGUCAUUACUCAGUGGCUUCCAGCCACCAUCUAGUUGGCAAGAACUCAAUCUAAACUUCAUUUUGUAACAACAAUGUAUGAUAGAAGCAAGGUUUGCUGUGCCAACUAUCUGGCACGGCCAACACGUGCCACCAAUGCCAACCGUUUUGACAUAUAAAAUGUGAUGUGUACGGAGGUGUGCCGACGUGCCGUGUCAUGUUGCUGGCACACCGUCAUGCCCUAUGCUGGUGGCGUGGCAAUCCUUGGGUAGAAGUAUGAGAUAUAUUUGAUAAUAGAAAUUAUGCGUUGAAUCAAUUGGAUGCAAAUUAUGAAAGCGUAAACUACUUUUCAACAAAUUUAAUGUGUAUCGAUUUGAUUUUAGUACGUAUUCUUGGCCAUCAUUCUCUAUGUUUAACUUCCAUGUUUGAUUAAUAGAAUUUCUCAGUUGAACAAGGUCUUUAUUAGUGCCAUGUACACAUGAUAAUUGUUUUGAUCUUCAAAGCAUAACGGGCUUUGAAUCAAUUCCUUAUACAGUUGAAUUUUCAUCCUCUGCAUUAUCAAUAGAAACCCUAGACUCACGUAUGCUAGACCCACUGUUUAAAAAAGCGCGCCUAGGCGCAGCGCCUAGGCGCCUAGGCUCUAGGCGCACAGGUCAACGCUUAGAGCAGCUCUAGGCGGGCGCCAUGACUCAGGCGCGCCCCUAGGCAGCCUAGGCGCGCGCCUGGGACUAGGCGCAAGGCGCCCUCAAGGCGCGCCUAGGCAAUAUUUAUAGUAACGAGUUUGGAUCCAGAUUUUAUUUGUCUAACGGGUUGAAAUAUCUAAAACAAACCCAAUACCCUAAACUAACCCUAAAUAAUCAUCAAUUAUCUCUCUAUUCCCCUCUCCUUGUCCGCUCGCCCCUCUUCCUGUUCGCUCGCCCCCUCUCCCUGUCCGCUCGCCCGCUCGGCCAUCUCUCCCUCUCCUGCGCUCCCUUUCCGGUUGUCCUUGCUUCCGGCACUUCCUCCUUGCUUCUUCAACUUGCUCGCCUCUUCUUCCAAGGUUUUUUGUCUCUCCCUUGGCCUAUCUGUAGUUUCUCUUUUAGUUUUUUGUGUAUAUUUCUAUUUCUUUUUAUUAAAGCAGUGCUUUCUAUGCUUUUUUUUGAAGUAGAAAUUUUAUGUUUUAGUUUUUUAAAAAACAGCAUUUUACUUGAAAAUAAAACAGCAUUUUAACAUUUUAAAAAACAGCAUUUUACUUGAAAAAACAGCAUUUUACUUGAUUAUUUACUUAUUUCAAAAUUUUAUGAAAGUGUGCGCCUGACCUCUCUUAGGCGCGCGCCUGCGCCUUGCGCCUAGGCUCCAAGAAGCCUUUGCGCCUAGGUGCGCCUUGGGCUUUUUUAAACACUGGCUAGACCUGAACCUAGACAAAUCUAUGUUGAUAUUGAGUUGCAUAAGUAUUUAUUGCGAAUGCAAGUCCUAAAAAUUUAGAUGAAUCUUCCAAAUUUUCAUAAAAAAUAAAAAAAUAUUUUUUUUUGUAAUUUUUUAUCUUGUAAUUUUUAAAAUAUUGAAAAAAUAGGAAAAAAUUGAAAGAAUUUUCAAAAUUAAUCAAUUUUUAUCAUAAAUUUGCUUAAUUUAUUUAUCGUCUAAUUUAUUGUUAAAUUUUUAAGGAUAAAUCUUACAGCUUUUAUUACAAAUAAUUUUUAAAAAAUAAUUUAGUACCGUCAUAUAUUAGAUCUUAUAGAUAUUAAGAAGCCUAACACUGUAUUAAUUAGCAAGUGUAAUAAGCUAUUGUUGCCAACAGGAUGAGACAAAUUAAUACAUUGCCAAAAUUCAUAAAUAUUAUCUUAAAACUUUCAAAAUAACAUUAUAAGAUGUUAUUAAGAUUAAAAAACUAAAAAAAGGUUGCGCCAAAGCGUGCAACUAAGAUGAUGUGCCUGCCAAUAGACACGCAAGUGUGCCACAUGUUGGCACAGGAGCGUGCCGGACCUGCCGGUGCCAUACCGUGUCGGGCCAGUACCGACACGCCCUAGUGCCACGGUACUUUAAUCCUCGGUUGGUGGCAUUUAAUUUUGGGAAAAAUGUAUGGAGACCCUUUGAACUUUAGCUUUUUUGCAAAUAGGCUCCUGAACUUUUAUGUUCGGCAAUCAGAUCCCCUAAACUUUACCAAAUAGUUUAAUAAGCCUCUCUCCUCAACCGUAGUUAUUAAAUAAUUAUACAAUCAUUUUGAUCAUAUAUCAUACACAUGAUAAUCUUGUAAGACUUCAAAGUAUAAAAAAAAUUAUUUUUUCUCUUCCAUUUUUGAUAAGCAUAAGAAUUGAAGAAUAAGGUGAAUCUAACUUCGAUUUUUUGUAUCUUAGCAUAUGAAAAAUGUUUUUUUUUCUUUUGGUGUGUUUUGAUGCUUUAUUGGAUUAUAUGCGAAAAGACAUUAGAUAGACUGGAUUAGAGGGAUUGGUUAUCCGAAAAUAUUUGGAAUUGCACAAAAAAGAUUUUUUUUCGCAAAAAGGUCUAGAAGGUAUUGUUAAAAGAUCAUCAAUUCCUAAUGAAAUAGAUGUAGCAUUGGCUUGUUAGAAACCCAGUCUUUGACCCAGGAUAUGUGAUGUAUGUCCCAUUACAAAAUGAUCGGUCUUUUUCAAUGAAAUCAUUAUGUAAUAUAUCAACAAAACCCAAAGUCAUCUCGCAUCCCCUUUCAUUGUUGAGUGAAAAAUGGGAAAUCAUGGAAAAUUGCAAUCCUCACCACGUUCGUUGGAAUAAUUUCAUAACCCGGGUCAGCUGAUACACUUUAAAAUGGUUCUAGUUUUUGUAAUUAGAUGCAUCUCGAGUUUCUAAGAACCAUUUAAAUUUGACAGUGGUCAAAAUGGCUGUGUAAUUUAUAAUUUCAAUUGAGGAGAGGAACCUAUUAAACUAUUUGAUAAAGUUUAGGGGAUCUAAUGGUCGAAAUUGAAAGUUCAGGCGCCUGUUUGCAAAAGAAAACCUAAAGUUAGUGGGGUCUCUAUACAUUUUACCCUUUAAAUUUUGUAUCAGAUAUGAUUCAUUAUGGGAACAUUAUGGUAAACAAGAAUUUACAUAGGAAACUUUCUUUUGCUCUCUUUGACCCAUAAAAUUGGCAAAAGACAAUAAACAGAACUCCCACAUACAUUGGCAAAUUUGGUAAAAUUUGCUCCACCUGCAUGUCGAAUAAGAGUGAUUCCUAAUACAAAAUGCUUACGUCGCAAACUAGGAUAAUACUAUUAUGGAUCCUUUAGUACUUCGUUGUGUUGUAUCAAUAUCAACUAGGCGAAUUAUAAUCACAACUUUUCUAUUUUGUAUUGCUCUGUUCCAUUGCUAACCAAGUAUACAAUCCUACUUUUGGUUUCCCUUAACCUCGUUUCAUUUUCUUUUGUUGACGAAUGGUUUAUGCAUCACUUUUUGAAAUCUUGGCUCUUCUCUUCCUUUUUAUAUGUUUAACAAUUUGUUGAUGUUAUUUCCUCUUAUUUUGGAAGUUCAUUUGAAAAUGCUUCAUUCUUCAAUUUUCUAAGCUUGGAAGUGAGAAUUUUAUGAGAAUUUUGGAUAACAAUCAUAUUACAUCUUUUUUAAUGUGUUCUGCUAUGUUAUGCUUUUGGAACAGUUCUGAUAAGGAUGAGACAGAUGCCAAUGAUGUCGAAGCAUCAAUGCUAGGCUUACAGAGCUACUGGGAUGCUUCUUAUGCAGAGGAUCUAGCAAAUUUUCAUGAGCAUGGACAUGCUGGCGAAAUUUGGUACUUAUUUGUACAUUUUCAUGAGCAUUCAUAUAUAUCCAUACCUUUACUGUAGAAGUUCUGCGCCUACAUGAUCAUUUGUUUAUGUAGCUUCAAGUAUAGGAUCUUCACUCAAAACCUAUUAGAAUGAUCACUUCUUAGUAUGCUCCUUCAGAUACCUGUUGUUUUAUAUGCAUGAUGAAUAAUGUUAUGACCAUAGAGUGGUUCUUUAUCUUUAUAAAUUAAAAUAUUCUAAUAAAUACCCUUCCUACAGCCUGAAAUUUCAUCGCUACCCUUUCAAAGUUGAAAAUGUGAUCAAUGCCCAUCUAUAUUGUCACGCCCGGGCUCCAGCGGAAACCAACCCGGCACGUGCACAGACCCGCCGUUUACACAAGGUACCCCUCUGGUGCACACAAGGUGUCAACUACAAAACAUUCAAUAGAUAAAAUAAGAAAUAUAACAGUAGCAUGAUAAUCAGAGCAUAAGUAUAAAACUAAUCCAUAAAACAAAAAUUUACUAAAGGGAAAAAAAAGAAGUUAAAACAACUGUCUCCAAAAAUAUACAUCAUGUCACCACCAAAAGAUACUAGGAUCAUAGGGUAGUCUCUAUAUAUAAUGGUUAGGUACACCUCUCGAAGCUAAACAAAAGAAAGGUGUCCACGUAUGCAGGUAUCUCCCGAAAGGCUCUAGCUAGACGCGACUCCUUUACUGCGGUCCCUAGCCUCUCCCGUAGUGGAAGGCUUUGAAAACAAAAACAACAAAUAUAUAGGGGUGAGAACUAUUAAACAAUAGUUCCCAGUGGGUAAGUUGCCGAGAAAAGCGGAUUACACCACUAGGUCAACUGAGGCAACAGUAGAAAAAUAACUAAUAGUAUAGCAUGAAUAAUCUGCGAGAAUUAACAGUUCUAGUACUAUUAUGCCUCUAAUUUAUUAUGUUAUUUAACAUGCAUGGAAAUUACUUUAUUACAUGAAUGAGCAUUAAAUGACUAAUGCAUAUGUUCAAUGUCAUGCACUAUCUAGUAGUAAUGUCCAAUCAUUAAGUUUAAUUGUCAUUACCCAAAUCAACGAGAACUUACACAUGGUAUAGUCCCGGCUUGCGCUAUGCCUAAUGUCCCCGUGGUAGUCAACAUUCUCUCGCUAGGAAUGAGGCUCGUCCACGGCAAUCCACUUUGGCGUCCAAUCUCGCACCGGCGAGCAUGAUGUCGCAAAGGCCAACUCUGGAGUGCCGACUUAUAGGGAGCGACCCUCACAAGUUUGUGCGAAUGAGCACAAUGGCAAGCAAGCGUGAUCAUCAACAUAGGGAUCUCGUUCGUCAUGUCUAAAACGUAGUAUGUCAACUAGCGACCUAGAGGUCGAGUACUAUGUCAUAAUAUUGAAUUCUAGUUGUUCAACUAAGUUAAGUACAACAUGUUUCAGUUCAUAUUUUGCCACUACUAUACUAUAUGUCGUAUUUACCUUGUCUAUAACAAGUAUGUUGAUUAUCAUGCAAGUUGAUCCAUUAAUUUCACUAACCAUAUAAGGUCCAAGAGACAUCAUUUACUCAUCUCUAAUAUGCUUUCUAUUGUUGCAUAAGAGGAAAACACCAUUAUGUACUAUUUAGUAUACAUAUCCACAUUAUAACCCUUUACGAUAUAGAGUAUAAAACCCCUACAUGUAACAUGUGUAUAUCAUGCAUUCAAAAAUUCUAUUAUGUCAUAACUAGCAUGAAUAUGCAUCAGUUUAAGUCUUAAAGCAAAGUAAAAGAUAUAGAGGGAGUUCACCCAUUUCGGUGAGGUCAAACCCACCGGAUACCCUUCGAAACUCGUUCGUUUCUUCGAACAAAGUUGUCCACUAGACUUCUAGCACCCUAAGAAAAAUUCUAAAAGGGUUACAAGGUUCUAACAAACUUCCCACGAAAUUCACCAAAAAUCACACAUAAAAUAGGUGAAAAAUAUCUUUAACCAAGAAGAACUUGUCCAAAGUCCAAAUCAAAGCUACAAACCUUCAAAUCCAACUUAAAAGAGAGUUCUACACUCAUUAAUUUAACCCCAAGGGCUAAAAAUCAAGAAAUCCCAAAAUAAAUCCUAGUUUUUUCAAAACUAGCUUUUCUUCCACAAUCUUUGCAAAAUCCACAAUCAAAGGUAGUAAGAAGACUACUAAUCUCAAUAAAAGCUCCAAACUAAGCUAGGCAAAGCUUGGGUUGGAGUUAAUUCCUCAAACAAGCUUCCUUCCUCACUCCCAAGCCUCCUUCAAGGUCCAAGUAGCAAGUUCCAUGGAGAGGAAGAAGAAACAAAAGAUCAAAACGCAAUCUAAAAGGGUUUGGAAGUAGAAAAUUCAAGAGAGAGGGUGAGGAAAUACCUACCUAUUCCUCUCUCUAACUUCAACACGAAGGCUGAGUGAAUGAGGGGUGAAGAGGUAUAUACAUGCUGUGACAAUCCCCAUUAGGCCCCUCGACAACUCACGAUUUGCAUACUGCACGAAAUCACACUCUGCAGCAUUGAGUACCGGUACUCCUUAGUUCCGGUAGCAUGGGUGCAGUUCCUCAGAACCCGUACGUUGGAAAUUCUGGUUUAUAACUGCGUUCCGGUACCAGUCCAAUGCAGUACCGGUACUCGGCCCGGUACCGGUACUUACAAUCCGAUUCAGCAAAACCCGAGAGCUACUCAUUUCAACACUAUUGGGUUCCGGUACCUCAACCCAGUACCGGUACUCAACACUAAAAUCUGUAGUUUAUAGAUUUUAAUGUUGGAAACCAGUUCUCGUGCCUAAUAAGCUCCAGAAAUAGGCCGACACUCAACCAAAAACCCUCAAAACCUCCAAAAUAGUUUAAAAUACUAUUCUUACACUAGAACCUUGUAAUUUGCUAAAGUUCAGUGUGCUACAUAUAUACACAUAAUCUUUACAAAUACCCUUAUGGGUGACAAUCCGCCCAAAACUAUGUUGUACAUAUAUGGAUACGACAUGAUAUGGAUAUGGUGAUAUGACAAUUCCUAAAAACUCUAGGAUUCGAUACGAUACUUGAAUAAAAUUUUAUUUUAAAUAUAUAUUAAUUAUAUGUAAUAUUGUAAUGACAUAUUGAGGACAAUCAAAAUAUCUAGAUUAUAUUAAGAAAUAUAUACCGAUAUACAUUUACUUGUACAAUUGUUCGAGAUUUGUUCAUCAAAAAAAGAUAAUCAAUCGUAUGAAAGAAAAAAUUGAAAAAAUAUUUACCAACUAUUAUCCAGCUUGAUUAAAUAAUAACAAUAGAUAUUUGAUUGCAUAAACUAGAUAAUAGUUACUCAUCAUAUAUGUCUAUUUUGUUUGGUUCCAUUAUAUAAAAUAGUAAUAGAAGAAAAUAUGCUAGCAUUUUAAUAGAAGCAGGAAAAAAAAACUCUUGUGGCCAGAAUCAUUGCUUAAUACUGUGUGGAUAUAGAGUGAGAGAGAGCAUCUUCCACUAUCCAAGAGCAAAAAAAAUAGAAAAAAUGAUGGAUUGAACAGAGAUUGGCAUUUUCCUCAUUGUUUUCCUUAUUUCCAAUGGGUUAGGAUGUGGGCUUUUUGAAAAAUUUUGAGUUAUGAUCAUUUUAGAUGAAUAAAGAACCUAGUCAUAUCCACCUUGUAUCCCAGCCGUAUCCGAUUUUUUUUCUAUUAUUAAAAACUGUCAAAAAUUUCAAUCCCAUAUCGGACGCGUAUUGGGCACGUACUAGUAUCCGAUGUGUUCAAUACAGGAACAUCAUAAAAUUUGAAGUAUCUGCGCAUCAUAGGCCCAAAACUAAUUGAACAAAUUCUAAGUAUCUAUUUUCCAAAUAGCACUUUUAAUAAUGUCCUCAAAUUUACAACUGAUAAUUACUUUAACACUAUUAUUAUACUAUUAAUGUUUGAUUUAAGUACUGAUGAACUCUAUUUUUUAAUUAAAUAUUCAAUUUUUGAGGUUUUUAUCUGAUGUAUAAUUCUUGUUUGAAAGUUUAGUCCAUUUCCUUUAUUGCCAAAAAUAUAAGGUUCUUUCAACGACCUAUAUUUUCUUUGCAAGUCAUUUUUUUUUUUCUUAACCUAGUUCAGAAAAAUAAAAAUAAGGUAAAAAAUCAAUUUUGGGCCCUAAAGAUAACCUAUGACUUUUCGACAUAUUCUGUUUUAUGUAAUCGUGUUUUAUACUUUCGUAAAAAGCUUAUAACAAAGAUAUGAAAAAUGUGAAGAUGGAAGAAUGAAGGGGUAAACUUGUCAUUCUGCUUGUUGAAUGUUGACUUGUGGUAGACCGCCAUUUUAACAGUGGUGAAGUUAAUGUCUGUUGAAUGUAAUAGAUGGGAAGGGCAUUCAGGAUAGUUUAGUAUAUUGAAGGGGUAACUUUUAACUUUACAAGAGCAUCAACGAAAGUUCUGAAUUUUGUAGGGGUACUGAUGAAAUUGCCACUUUUAAAUUUAAUUACUUCUUCAAUUAACAUUCAUUUUCUAACAUUAAAUCAUUUUACUCUUUAGAGAAGGCUUGAGACUAUUGAUUUAUACAUAAUACAGCAGUAAGUCCAAAGGAGUUAUUUCAUUCCAGCUUCCAAAGCAAGGUCUCAUAAUUUUUCUCAAGUUCUAUUCUCCUAUUUUCUUACUCAUAUUUUCUCUUCAUUUUACUAAUAACUGUUCAAUUGAAAAUCAAAUUCUGAAUCUGCUGAAACUUUAAAACCAUUUAAUUUUUCUACUUUGGACUUUUGGAUUCUUUGAAGCAACUGUGAAGUGAAGAGACCUCAAGAAGCCAGCCAGCCAUGUCCUUAUCGAUCCGUAGAUGGUGCAAUAACUAUUUUAUAUUCUCAUAUGUACACAUCAGAUACUUGUGAUUAGCUAGUUAUUGAAGUGAAUAUGUUUAUAAGAAAAUUAAUAUAGCUCAGGCCUUUAUAUUCAUUUCUGUGGAUCUAUGAUGAUGGCUCAAGUUGGAGGUUUAUUUCCAAUUUUGGCUUCUCAACACUUGUUCUAUUUCUUCUUGCAUUUCAUACUGCAAAUUCAUUAAGUAUCCUCUGCAUAUUUCAUUAUAAAUGGUUACAUUUUUUUACUGUAAAUGAGAUUAAUAUUCUUGCUUAAUUAAACAAUAUUCUAACAAUAACUCUACUUUCGCCACAUGUAUGACAUUCCUACAGUGUAUUUGUAGACUUAUCUUUAAGUUAUGUAUAUAUACAUAGACAAGGUUGUGUGUGUAGUGAAAUUAAGAACUAAACUCAGGUUCUUUCCAUUUAGGUUUGGUAAUGAAGUCAUGGAUACUGUUGCAACUUGGACUAAAAACUUAUGUCUCAACUUGUCCCAAGGUGGGAAUGCUGCUGCCCAAAGCAAUCACAUAUCUGAAUCUGGUGAGACUAUCAAAGACUUGUCAAGCUGGAGUGUGCUUGACGUUGGAACUGGGAAUGGCUUGCUUUUGCAAGCACUAGCAAAGCAAGGGUAAUCGGAAAUUUUCAUUCUAAUUUUCCUCAUGUUGUACUUCAAAUGUAACUAAAAUGUUAAAAUCAUUUGUUAUCUUUUUCCUUUUCUUGUACUGCCAUUUAGAUAUAUUUUUUCCAUUAGGCUGAUUCAUUGUCAUAGUCAUAAAAAUUUCUAUUAUUAAUUGUUUGGCUGUUGCACAGCCAAUAAUCUGAAAGCUUCCACAUGACAUCAGCCUGUCAGAAUUAGUGUUGAAGCCUAGGACACAAAAUCAACAAAGAUAGGGGCUCACAGCUUGUUCUUACCUCGUGUCUGUUAGAUUUUGGGCAUGUUGUGUGAAAGUUGUCAGAAUUGAAUGCUGCAUGAGUUUUCUUUGGCUGCACUCAUAUUUUGUAGUUAUAUUUUUUUCCUUCUGUUUGCUUUUUCUUUUUUUAUUUUCUAAAUGAAUUUGCGAACUAUUCAACAAUGACAAGAGCAGCAUUUGCCAGUGGAUUAGAUCCUAUAGAACUUGAGGGGAAAAACAAGUGAUGCAUAGUCAAAUGAGGCUACAACUUCUCGUUUAAAACAAGUUACCCCAUGAUUUAAGAAUUAAAAGGUGAAAAGUAUUCAGCACCAUGCAGGGUGAAGAGUGCAUGUUGUGCCACCAAGGUUUAAAGUGCCGUGGCACGGCGGCGUUCUACUGUCUGCCUGGCAUGGUACGGCAUCGGUACGCUUCCGUGUUAACACAUGGAAUGCUUGUGUGCCGAUGGAUACGCACGACCUCCUACUGGCAUGUUUUGGUAUGAACUUAUUUCAGUUUUUUUGGUUCCAAUAAGUUCUUAUAAUAUUAUUUUGAAAGAUUUAAUCAAAUAAUUAUGAAUAUUUGCUAUGUAUAGCUUACUAUUCACAUCAAUUAACAUAUUUGUAAGCUUUUUUGUAUGUAAAGUACAAUUAUACCUGAUGCAGAAUAGAAAUUUUUACAUGUUAGAAUUUUUAAAAUGCAAAGACUUUUUUUUUUUUUGACCAUAUUAUAGUCUUUCUUUUAUAAAAUACAAAAAAAUUAUUUUAAAAAUUAUUUGAAAAAAUUAUUUGAAAAAAAUAUUUUUUUAAUUAUUUUUUUCAAAAAAUUAGUAGAUCUAUCAAAAAAAUUAAGCAAUAAUUAUAUGACAAAUAAAUUAAAUAAAUUUAAGUAUCAAUUGAUUUAAUUUAGCUUUUAAUUUUAUUAGUAUUUUCAAUCUUCUAGUGCAAAAAUAAAAUUUUAUGUUUUAUGUGGCUCAAAAUUUGUUUAUUGAGUUCGAUUUUGUUCCUUUAGUUCGCCAAAAAUUUUGCGGUGCGACAAAUUUUGAUAAAAUAAUUUGUAAAGAAAAAAUAGAUAUCUGUGGUGGAAGCAGAGGGCUCGGAUAAAUCUUUUGUCUGUAUAUUGAUAAACAAAAAAAUUAAAUUAUAAUUUUUUGACUUACCUAAUAAGUAUAUUUUCGAUUUGUAAUGUCUUUGGGAGAGGCAUGGAGUCAAGGAUUUAAGUGCCGGGGCAUGGGAUCGUGCCGGAAAUUUGCUGGCACGGUACGGCACGGUGCGUGCCGAGCCGUGCCGAUGCGUGCCGGUCAAAAAAAUUCUUGUGUGCCGACACAUAAUAGCAUGAAAUAUUUAUUUUCUUUAGCAACAAAAUAUUCUAACUAUUUAUUAUGUCUUUUUAUCACAUCUUUUGAACUUUAUUGAGGAAAUUACUUACUAAUUUUAAAGAAUAGAGAGUUUUGAGUUGUGCCAUCGGCACAAGGUCUGUAUCGUGCCGGUAUCUUGUUGGCACGAUACGGCACGGUGGAUACGACCCGUACCAACGGGCAAUUAAAACCUUGCAUGGAGUACCAGAAUGCUUUGGAUAUCCCAAAGAACAAAAUAAAAAGAAAAAAAAAAACAAAAGCAAAAAAAAGCAGAAAAAAAAAAUUAGCACUGCCGGCACGGCACUGUGCCGUGGCACGCUGCGCCGUGCCGCUCUAUCUCGUGUGGCAUGGCGCUGCGUUCCGCACCACAGAGGGGGGGUCCGAGAGCCCCCCUACCGUGCCACUGCCCCGUGCCGUACGGCACGGGGCGGCACUUUAAACCUUGUGUGGCACAUAAUAUGCUGGCUGCUUGCCACACGUCCAGGGCAGGGCAAACUUGGAUUGUAGCGCACAAAUUUAGUAGCAUACAUUUUGGGACCUUACAAAUCAAUGACAUUUUACUCUGUUUCCUCUUGCAUUGUGAUUUGUACGUGUCUUUCGGACAUAUCUUUUAUGAACAAUUCCUUUUUGUAGCCUUCUUAACAGGAUACUUGUUUGAUCAUCCCACCUGAUAAGUUGAAAAUGUUUCAUAUAAUCAAAAUAUUAUACUUGUGUUAGGUAUGUAUCUUUGUAAUUUUUAUAGUACUUGUAUCCUAUUGUUUUUGUCCUAUAUGUUUUAAUAAUUACUACUGAAAAUAUUCGUAAAUUGUCUUAUAUCCAUUUCCCUUCUAUGUAGUCCAGAAAUUAAAUUAGUCAGUUAUUAUUUCCAGCGCUGGAAAGUAGGACUUUAUUUUAGUGCAUUUCAAACUUCAAAGGAAGAUGUUUGAAUGAUGUCAUCGAUUUUCACUGGCUAGUUGUAUCUUUUAAAAGAUUAGCUGAGAAAACUACGAGCCAUUGGCCUUCAGGAUGAAAUUGUAUUUAUUGUCUUCCGUUGGCAUUCAAAUGAAGGAUUAGUGGGAAGUAUAAUUAGUGUAAGGUAGCAUAGAAGAUCAUCUAGUUGCCAUUCAUUCUAAUAUGCAAUAUAUUCCUCUUGUUCUUUGAGUUGCUACAAUUUACUGAGUUAGGCAUGUUUUAUUUCAUCCCCACACUCACAGGAUUUACAUUUUGCACUCAAUUUACCGAACUAGGCAUGUUUUAUUUCAUCCACACACACACAGGAUUUAUAUUUUGCACUCAGUAUAUUAGGGGUGCCUUCGUCUUUUUAGGAUCUUUAGAAUUUCUUCUUUCCCUGUUUUCACUAGUAACCUGCUCGCGGUGAACAAGCCAGCAGCUAUAUUCUCCACUAUAAAAGCAUUUCUUUUGUUUUCAGGAAACUGGUCUUGGUUGUCGUUAUUUUGGAUGUUUGCAACCAAUGCGUGUUGUAUCGACCUUUAAAGUGCCUUCACUUUACUGCAUUUUAGACUAAUCCAAACAUUUUCUAACAAAUUGGAAAUUUCAUCGUUUUCAUUUACUUUUGUUAAUAGGUUUUCUAUCUUGUCACCUCAUGGUCUUGAGAGAGAGAGAGAGAGAGAGAGAGAGAGAGAGAGAGAUUGUUAAUAGACUUUCUAUAUUGUCACCUCAUGGUCUUGGGGGAAGGAGGGAGAGGAUGGUUCAUCCCGCAAUGCAAUGAGAUUUGUCAUUUUAUUCUUGCACAUUUGGCUUUUUGUUAAUAUUGAGUUGAAUGGAUUAAUGACAGUUUUCAGUUCCAGAUUUUCAGAUUUAACUGGAACUGACUAUAGCGAAGGAGCUAUUGAACUUGCACGAAGCCUUGCUGUUCGUAAUGGAUUUUCCAAUAUAAAAUUUGUGGUAUGUAAAAUUUUCUUACUAACCAAAAUAAUGGAAAUUCUUGUUUCCUUUUUUGCUUAAUGUCCGGCAGCCUGAUAUAUCAUUUUGGAAUAAGUUCACUGCCCUUGUGCUAUAACCACUGACUUAUGUUUGACGAUACCAUAACCAACAAGCCGAGACAGAGAUAUGUGCAUCAUUAAAAAUGUUUUUUGUUUGUCAUUAGAAAAAUGAAGUCAUUUUCAAAAUUGCUGGCACAUCCUUGUUGUUUCCAUGUUUUUUGGGUCCUUGAUAUGUCAUUGAAGAAUUAAGUUCUAAUUAUGAGCAUUUUUUUUCCUUCUGAUUUUGGGGCUUUUGGUAUAUAAAUCACUAUGAUGAUUUCUUGCUCUCAUUCUGUUUCUGAUAUUCCAAAUGACUGACAUUUGCAUAUUACAACUGUACCAUGACUAUUCGUUUCUGUCAAAAGACCUUUGACAUGUUUGCUAAGUGGAAAUCUGUCCCAAGCCUAUUAUAGUAUUCCUCAACAGCAAAAUUUAGUUUCAUCUUUAUUGUUCCUCAGCAGCAAAAUUUAGUUUCAUCUUUACUGAUUCCAUACGAUGUAUUGGACAAGAUUAUUUAUCUUGUAGGUCUUUAAUUGGUUAUUCAUGGUUCUUGAAUUUGGACGAAUGUACUAGCCUUAUAUGUUGUUUACUUGUGCAAAUUGUCGGAUGCAACUGCUAGCACCGGAAAGUAAUAAAAGUUAUGUAGAUUUUGUACCAAAUGUUGAUAACCUCAAUGUUUGAGAAAGUUAUCAUGUCGAUGGACUGAAUAUGUUUUAUACAAGAUAUAAGUAUAGAACAAGAUAACAUCAUAUGUUUAAUAGUCAGCCUUGCAAUUUUGGUGUCUUUUGGGCUUCUGCUUAGGUCUUGGAGGAUAUUGCAACUAAAUAGUUUCCCUACCAAAUAUGAUGCAAGAUAAAGGGAACUAUUGGAAGUGGCAAAUCAUACCGUGAACUAGUGUAGAGGCGGAGAUGGUGAGAGAUUCUCCUUUAGUUUAAGUCUACAGACAUGAGUUUGAGAGUAACAAUCUAUCUCUUAAUGAAAAAUAGGCUCUUUGUUUGAUUGGUUCAAAAGAGUAAGUAAAUCUAACAUGUUAAGUGGUUAUUAGGAGUGGCCGCAUCGUUUGACUGGUUAGAAUGUCUGUCCAGUUGGUUGUUACUGAAAUUGCAAAGCUUGAAUUUGUUUUAAGUCCUGAUUUGUUUUUUGCAUAAAAUUAUAUGAAUCAUGAAAAUCUUUGAAAGCCGAUGGCACCAAGGACCAGAAAGAAAUUUGAAGACAAGCUGAGAGGUUUGUGGAGGAUUAUGAUUUAGACAUUUCAAAAAGAGGUAGACAGUGAUUUUCAAAAAGUGGAGGAAGAGAAAGUAUAUAGAGUCCUCCAAAAUAUCUGUUAAAAUUUCAAUCAUAUUUAUUUUUUGGAUGAAAAUUUCUUUUACGAACUCUUAUCCACAAACUUUUUGCUAGAUUACAAGUCUUAAGUAGAUGGAGAAGGCAACAAUGUCAAACUAGGCUCUCUGCAUAUACUGCUGCAUGCUGAGAUAGUCUAUUGCGAUGCCUACUGGUCUGAAGUGUUCAAAUGUCAUUUUAGCAUAUUGUAUAAACUGUGGUCCUGCUUUCUUUGGUUACUAAUUUCUUUACUUUGUAUGUGAAAUGAGAAAGGAAAUAAUCUUAAGUCUAGCUAAUACGAUUAUAUUUGAGCAAAUUAUAUCCAGUAAUUGUUAAUCCAAUUUCACUUUGAUCCCUUCAAUUGGUGUCAAUUGAUGGCUCACAAUGUGCAUUAAAUAAUUCUUCAAGUCUGUUGUCAGCUUCCUCGUAUCUAUUAUGUCAGGAGAGUCUGGUGUAAGUUUGGUCUAUGUGCCUGCCCGAUCAACAUAUAUUUAAUUGGACCAAAUAGGUGAGAAGAUACUUGCAAUGUUAGUUAAGUCUAUGUGGCUGCCCGAUCAACAUGUUAAUUAGACUGAAUGGGUGAGAAGACACUUGCAAUGUUAACCUGUGGUGCUAUGUGACCAUCCAAUUGAAAACAAGUUUCGAAUGUUCGACAGGCACCUUUCUGUCACCAAUAUGAGCCAAUUAAACACUAACUUUGGAAACCUCGUAUUCUAUGUUUUAAUGACAUCUACUUCCCCGAGCUCUCAUGGGCUGGAGCUGAUGUUGUGAAUUAGUUGAGUCACUUAACAAAGUUUAGUCAUCAAGUGAAACAAGAAAAGUACAAUUCAACGCAUAGGUAAGAUAUUUCUUGCGCAGCUUUCUGCUGAGUAAACCCUCAUGCAUCAGAAGUUCUAUAGAAUCUUAAGUUAGUGUACACUGUAACACAAGCUAAACUCUUAAUAUGAUGGUACUGUAUGUUAUUUGCUUGUUCUCCCUAUUGCAUUCAAAACUUUGCACAAUUUUAUGAAUCUGUAUGCAUGAUAAUCUGGAUGGCUGUUUAAUACCUGGCAACAGUUGUUUCUGCUUUCAGACUAUUUCAUCUAUGUUUUCUUUGGACGUCCUUUUCUUAGUUACGUGUAUAUGCAUGUUUCUACCAGGUUGAUGAUAUUCUAGAAACAAAAUUGGACAGAAAAUUCCAGAUUGUUAUGGACAAAGGGACUUUGGAUGCCAUAGGGUUACAUCCUGAUGGGCCGAUAAAAAGGUGAGGUUACUAGAAAGCUGGUGUUUCCUAGCUUAUUUGGUUUCGUUUUUUGUUCUUUUUCUGCAUGCUUGUAGAAUGUUCCUGAUGUUCGCGAUGUUCCUGCAUACUCUACCACAAAUUUGAGGUGCUUUUGAGCUUUCUUUUCUAUUCCUGAUUAUCAAUUGAGGAAUAUGACCAAUAAAAUGCUGCGAGUAUUGGUGAAUAUUUUUGUGGUGAAAAUGCUUUCCUAUAGCUGUUGUAUUAUGAAUAUCGAUUUACAUAAACUCUCCUUUUUUCUGAGGGAGAAGAUUUACAUAAGCUAUAUAAAUAGCAUCGUAUGACCACUAGUUAGUGCCAGUGCAACAAAAGAAAUAAAUGUUUUCUGGUGGAUAAAAUUUGUGUUAUAUCAGUUGCUUAUAGUUGAGCGGGAAAUGUUAGUGUAAAUGUUUCUACUUGUUCACUUUGCAUUUUAUGCAAUCCCCUUUUUCAGGAUAAUGUAUUGGGAAUCAGUAGCAAACUUGGUUUCCCCUCGUGGCGUCUUGGUGAGUAAAAUUUUUUUGCUCGCCAAACUUCAAGCUAGAUGCUCCUUGUAUUCAUUUCACAACAUUGUUUCACCCUACUGCUAUGGUAAAACAUUUACAGGUGAUAACAUCUUGUAAUAACACAAAAGAGGAGCUGGUGCAAGAGGUGGAGAACUUCAAUGAUAGAAAGUACGGUGGUAAGGAUGCAGACCAAGAAGCAAGCGGUGAGCCUUGGGUCUUCCGAUACCUUGAUUAUGUGCGUAGUUACCCCACGAUUAUGUUCGGCGGGGUUGAAGGUUCUCGUGUGUGCACUGUUGCAUUUCUGCGAAGCUGAUAUUUGUAACAUGUUAUUGCCCUUUGUUUCCGGAAUUUUAUUGUGGGGGUUCAUGUUGCAUGUGCUUAAGUGUUUAUCUUUUCUUUUCUUUUCUUUUCUUUUCUUUUCUUCUGAUUUUAAGACCCGGUUAGAAGUGUUAAACAUGUAUGUUUCUUUAUAACAGAAUUAGAAGCGUUAAACAUGUAUAUUUUCUUUAUAACAGAAUAUUAGAGACAAAAUAGGGAAGAUAUUUAUUGCAGGACGGUUAUAUGAUCUUUCUUUCCCGUGGCUGUUGUAUGGAUUAGAUGCAAGAUAAAUUAAGGGCGUGUUUGGUUCAUGAUUGGAAUAGGAAUAAGAAUGGAAAUUGGAUUGGAUGGAAUGGAAAAUGGAAUAAUAAAUUAUCUAAAAUUAUUUGGUUCAAUAUUGGAAUGGAAAUUGAAAUAAACAUCUAGAAUUUUGAGAGGGCUUUGGUUGAGGGAGAGGAGAGUUGAUGAAGAGAGGCGAAAGAGAGAUGUUUGUGACGAGGGCUUUGAAUGAUUUACUUGGAUUUUUGUAAAAUAAAUGAAUUUAUUGAAAUUAAUGAAUUUUAUUUUAGUUUUAUUGUUUAAAUUAGGUGAACCAAACAAACUCUAAAUCAACUUUCCUAGGAAGAUGGUUUUUUGAGAAAAAGGUAGCAUGCAACUCAUUUUGUUUAUUUCUUUUAGAAAUAAAAUUUAUUGGUAAUAUAAAUCUACUAGGAUUCAAACUUGCAACCUCAAAUAUUAACCAUUAAGCUCUUUGCCAUUUGUGUUAGGGACGAAUUAUUAUCCAAGGAUAACUUGGUUAGCAUCCUACUGGAAUCUAAGACAAUUCUAUAAUUCUGACUACACUCCACACCCUGCGAUCUAUUCUACUCGAAAUCAAAAUAGAAAAAAAAGAGUUUAAAAAAAAGACAAGACUAAAAUGUGAAAUAACAUAGGUAAAUAUGUAUAAAACUUAUGUAAAUUAUGAGUUUUUUGAAUUAACUAUUCAGUUUUUCAAAAUUUUGAUUUCAUUAUCCAAUAUUUCAAUUUGUUUGAAUUCAGUAAUUUUUUUAAAGGAAAACAUGCUCUAAGAUAAUUUUAUUUAAUUAAUCAAGUGCUACAGAUUGAAAAAUCUCAUCUAUAGAGUACUAGAAAAAUUUUUUUUGCUGGUGAGUUUCCGUUGGUCAAGCAAUACUCGGCUAUAGCAUUUUUCGAAAAUCUCGAAGUCCAUCCAAACAUUAAGUGUUUGAAUCUCUAUGUAGAAGUCCAAAGCUUCAUGAUUCUAGCCUUAGCUUCAUAUAUUAUUGAAUUUGAAUAAUAAUUUCUAAGGUGCAAAGCUUUGAUAAUGAAUGUUGAAUCUGACAAGAUAUGAAAAGUUCCUCGAGGAUACAUCUGCCAAAGGAAGCAUUGUGGACUACUUGUAUUGCAUUAGAUAUGCAAGCAAUGGUUCCAUGCUGAAUGGUAAUCAGGCAUCCUACACCACUUGCCAUGCUGCCUUUUCCAACUUCCAUCUACCCACACAUAGUACGAAGAGGUUGUGGGUUUUUGAAUCAGAGUUGGAUCCUGGAUGUUGAUUCUCAUCAUAUUCUAGUUGGAAUAUUAAGGUCUUCCAGCUAUGAGCCCUUGAAAUGAUAUUAGUGAUUGAGAAAUUUUCCCCCUCAAAGAUCACCUCAUUCCUUUCCUUCCACAAGCUCUAUAAUAGAUGAACAUAGAAAGCCUUAUAUGAGUCUCUAUGGCUUUGUUAGUUAGGAUAAAAAAUAUCCAAAAAGAUAGAGCCUUCUCCGGAUUGAGUUGUUGGCUUCGGUUAAACCGAAUCGGGUGCGUCCAUGAUCAGAUUCGAUCUGACAGUUAUUAUAUUGUCUAAUUGGACUAGACUUAAUCUCACUUUUAAUUUGGAAAGCUAAUUAGAGAUAUAUCUUAGCUAUAUUAGGAUAGCAAUCAAACACGGAUUCAUCCUAAUUUUCUACUUAUCUAUUAAAGUGUUAAAAUCCAUUAUAAAUUUAUAGAAUAUUUUGUCAUAAAAUAUAAACAAAAAAAAAGAAAAAAAUAAUUUGUAGAUAAUUUACAAUGAGCCAUCUUGUGUGAGAGAGAGAAACUAUAUCCUCCAUUAACUAUUGCUUCUAGAGGGUCUUCAAUGGUGGAUUAUAGAUCUAACUCGUUCAUAGCUCUAUCUACCAGACGGUCUUCAAUGGUGGAUUAUAGAUCUAACUCGUUUGUAGCUUGAUCUACCACUGAUUUGGAGCGUUAAAAGACCUUCGUAGACGAUUGGAGGAUACGUAAAUCAACCUCUACGAUCCGGAACUUAUCACGUUCUAGCAUGAGUCGCUUUCGUAAAAAUAUGAACGAAUACUUCCGUUGUAUUCUACAUUAGUAUCGGAACAUUACUUGGUUGAUUUCGUAUCCUAGAUAAAUUUUUAACAAGAUUGUAUGUGUAGAUCUAAAGUUGCCAUUGUUUAGAAUUCUUUUUCCAUGUUGUGGGUGUUAAUGGCAGGGUGAAUAUAAUAGCAUGAUAUUUACACAUCUUAUGCCACUUAUGUUGUAGAUUAUAUGAGCAAAAUUUGGUUUGAUUUGAUUUUGUAUUUUAUGUGAAAAAUAAAAUAAUAAAUCAAAACUUUAUAAAUGGCUUGUUUGCUGUGUAGUGUAUAUCUCAUUGUAGAAUUUGCAUGGUUUGGUACAGCUCUUUAUAAGCCUUCCAGUGAAAUAGUUUAUGCAUGAUUUGGGCUUGUGGAUCAAAAAAUAUUAAAUUUCAAAGUUUCCCUUUUUAUUUCAUAAAAAAGGGUUUGCUGUGACGCAGUGAGCCACGUGGGUCCCUGCGCGCGAGGCCUGCCUUGGGCUUGGCCCAUGCAGGGCCGCCAAGGUUCUCAGGUCUGUGCAAGCCCGCAAGCCCGUGCAGGCUUGCAGGCCCGCAGGGGGCCUGCCCUACGCAGGCCUGCAGGCGACCUGCCUUGUCCCACCAAAAUUGGGCCUUUGCACAGUAAAAUAUUUGUUUAUAAAAUAAAAUAAACGAAAAGAGAAGGGAGGAAAUUUUGGAGAUAUAUUUUUUUGGAGCAUAUUAGAUGUUUGAUUAUGCCUUGAUGAUACACAUUGCAUGCAUUUAAUUUUUUUGGGGUAAAUUUAUUAUGCCUCAUGUGAUGUAUGGAUGAAGCUUUUGGCAUAGUAUAAAUUUUUCUAUGCAUGCUUAGUCAAGCGAGAGUUUGUAUUAAGAUAGAGUAAAUUAUAUGUUUUACUCCGUAAGCCCAUAAUUUUAUGAAAAAUUAGGCAUAGGGUGUAGUGUGAUUAUGAGCACAGCGAAAUUUUUCUUUACACAACUAUGAUCUAAUUUCUCAGUUUGUUUAAUUAGAGAUGCGGCAAAGUUUAAUAUAUGUAUUGUGUGCUAAUUUUUAAAAUAAUUUUCAUUUUUUGUGUACUAUGUGAACUUAGUGAGAUACUAUGGUGUCAAAAUAAGUUGUUUUUGAUUUGAUCGAAGGUGAGAAAUUAGACAGUGAUAAUUAUGAUAUUUGGCACCACAAAAUUUAAUAUGUUCUUGCUGAGCAAAAGGUCUUGAAAACUUGAGUAAUAAGAUGAACUAACCCACGGAGGGUAUUAGCAAUGAGACUCGUCGAGAGAUGGAACAUAAUUGGCUUAAGAAGGAUCGUAUUGCUCGCAUUACGUUGCUGAGCAGCGUGCAGGAUGAUUUCUUCUGUGAAUAUGAGCAGUACGCAACUGCUUAUGACAUAUGGGAGGCUUUUAAAACUAAAUUUGGUGUGACUUCGGCAGAAAGGUUGGCAGCCUGAUUAUGUGGUUUGAUAGUUAUAAGAAGUGUAUAUCGAACUUCUACAAUUAUGAAGUUUUGGUGGGCAUUAGCUUAAAAAGCUAUUAAAGUAGUUCCGGUGAAGUUUGGGGAGCAUUCGAGUGUUUUCGGCGCUAACCGGACGCGAAAACGGGUUUCAAAAGCUGAAAUCUGCCUAAGUUGCAGAUUUUGUAUUAAGUACCGGUACUGAAAUCUGGGUACCGGUAAGGAAUACAAAAUGAGAAAAACAUGCUCUCGGGUUUUGAGGAAUCAAACCUGAGUACCGGUACUGAGUUUGUAAUGGGUACCAUACUAGAAAUUGAGUACCGGUACGCAGUAGAAAAUUGGAAAUUCAACAUUCGGGUUUUGAGGUACUAGAAAUCGGGUACCGAUACUAGGUGCCCGAGUACCGAUACGCCAACCUGAGUACCAGUACUCAGCCCUGUAGAAUGCUGAUUUUGAGGGAUAGGUGGGUAAUUUCAUACGGAGGCAUAUUUAAAGGGGUGCCCUUCCCCUUUCUUCCGCAGAACACACACACAUGCACACUGAGGGAGAGAUAGGAGCUCAUCUCUCUCACUCUCUUCUUUUUUCUCCAACUUGGAGAUCUUGGUGGAGAUUGAACUUGGGAAGCUCGGAGAAGCAUGAAUCGAGUUCUUGGGCGCUUGGUAGCUCGGAGUGCUUUCGACUCGAGGUGAGUUUUGGGGUUUUAAGCUAGGGUUUUGGGUCUAAACCUUCUAAAUAGAUUCCUAUCAAACUCUAGGCUAAUAUAAGCUACAAAUUGUAGAGAUUAGCAAAUAGAAUUGGAUUUUUCCAUUGAGUUUGGAAAUCUCCAGGUUGACAGAGGGAUUUGUUUGUGGAGGGUUCUAAAAAUAUUUUAACCCUUUAAAACCUUAAUUGAGGGUAUAGAAAAUCAUGUAAGGCCACUUGAUUUCAAAAAGAAAAAUCAUUUAGUGGUUCGAAAGUGGUAACGAAUGGAUCUCUUGUUUAGGGUAAAGAAAGCUUGGGAGCAAGCUUGGAGAUACAAGAGGUUGGCGUAAUUACAAGUGUUUACAAGCAAUUAUGAGGCUUUGUGAGGUGGGUUGUGCUUCACCGAAGUAACUAGGUCGCUUCCAUGUCAAAAAAGUAAAGUAUGCUAUUAUUGUUGAUGCAUGUAUGUAAUGGUAAGUUAUAAGUUGUAAAUAUGAAUGCAUAAAUCAUAUGUUGCUAGAUGAUGUUACCUACCAUUGGAUAAUGACAUAGGCAUGUGAGAACAUAUAAGAUGGAUAUAUAUGUAUGCCUAGAUGUGGAUAAUGAACAUAGGCCAAUGAAUUGUAGCAAAAAUUACAAAAAUUAGAGAACUCGAUAAGUGUGAUUACCAAGGACUAGAUGUCAUGAAAUUGUGAAUCCUAGGUGUGGACAAUUAGAAUAAAGAAAGAACAUGAUUGGUGUCACGCCCCGGGACCGAUACCAAUUUGGGCCGGCCCGAGCACGUCAAACAGACGCCGAACGGACAGAGUUUUCCCUAUCCGCCCAAGGCUCAUCACAUGUACAUUUUCAUCAAUAGAGAAAAGAAAUAGCGGAAACAUAUACAAACGGCUUACACGAGGGUAAGUAAUAGCCAUUAGUGAAAGAAAGGAAAACUAAACAUUCGCUUGGACUAUGAUUCAUUUUUGAUCAUAUACGUUGUAUUCAUCUUGUUCAUUUUCGAAUUCCUUACAUUUCAUUUCAUCAUUUCUUUCUUACAUCACAUUUACCUCAAAAUACACAUUACAUUCUUUUCUCAACAUCACUAGUCAUCAAAUACAAAAGAUGAACAUAGGGUACUCUACUACAAAAUGUAACCCGACACAACUCUGGUNUUCUUUCUUCUUCUUCUCGUUUGCCUUCUAGAGAGAGAGAGAGGGAGAGAAGAGAGUGUGAGAGGGUGAGGAAAUGAGAGAAAUAUCUCAUUUGCCCUCAUACAUAGCUAUUGGGUUGCAUAAUUGCUAAUAAACCCCUCAACUUUCACUUUAAUGCACUGCCCGAACUGGGCUGAUCGCGCAGGCAGGGACCGGUCUCUUCUUCAGGGACCGGUUCCCGAAGGUCAUCCCAGCACAGCCAGAGCUGUUGCGCGCAGUGCAACCAGUCUCUCCUUGGGGGACCGGUCUCUCGGGGACCGGUCUCUCGGACAGGGACCGAUUCCCGAGAGCUACUUUCUCAGGACUUAGCCGAUUUUUCGGCGGUCUCAUUUCAUACGCGUUCGGGAACCGGUCUCUCCCACCAGGGACCGGUCCCCAAGAGCUGAAAAUCUGCAGUUUUCCAGAAUUUGAUUCUUUAGCUCUCGAAAACCGUCCACAACGCACUUUUGAUCGUUUUAACACCUUCUGACUUUCCGAAGUGUACCAUCCUCGCACUUUGGUCAACUUGACUAAAGUUCGAUAUUUAUUUUUCGAAUUUUCGGUAUAUUACAAUUGGGUAUUAGACUUAGUGUAUAUAUAUAUGUCACGCCCCGACACCCGCCUAUUUGGUCAGAUUCGGGGACGCCAACAGACCGCCGAACGGACAGAGUUUUUCCUGUACGUCCUAGGCGUCACAAUCGAUACAAUACAACAGGUUCCAACUAGGAACAACAUUCAAUCAUAGAUUGCAUUAGGAAGUAUCAAAAACAUAAAUACUAAGCUAUUACAAGCAUUCAACUCACAUGUAUCUUAACAUAUUACAUUUUGCUUACAUUCAACUUUCAAAUUACAAUCUAGUUAUUACAACACUUAAUAUAAGUUUGUUCUUUGUCUUUUAAACCCCUAAGUUAGACCACAUCAGGGUACCACUAUCUCUGGUCUCGGGGUAGGGCGCUAUUUACGGAGCUAUGCCCUUUCCUCGCGCCGCCGCACCGCUUGCGUGUGAACUUGUAAUCCCCAAAACAACGUGGUGUAAGGAAGUGAAUUCUCGAAAUUCGAGAGUUAAACUUCGUUCAAAAUCGACCAAGUGUCGUGUUGGUGUGCUUUGGAAAAGCCAAAGAUGACAAAAUCACUAAAAGUGCAUUGGAAACGAGUCCACGAGAGCAAAUAGUGCAAAACCUGCACUGGAGCAAAAUUGUGCUUGGGGACCGGUCCCUGGUAGGGAGAGAUCGGUUCCAUCGGCUGGUGGUUCCGGGGAUCUUUGAGGCAACUGGUCCCUGGCAGGGAGAGACCGGUCCCUGAACGUGAACCAAGCGAGAAAGCCAGAAAUUUGGCUAAGUUCCGAAAAUCCUGCUCUCGGGAACCGGUCUCUCGACGCGAACCCAGCGAGAAAGCCAGAAAUUUGGCUAAGUUUCGAAAAUCCUGCUCUCGGGAACCGGUCUCUCAGUCAAGGACCGGUCUCCCGGGACCGGUUUCUCGGGAAGGAACCGAUUCCCGAAUGCGUGACUCGAGCUGAAGCUCUCGGGGACCGGUCCCAGGUCGGGGAGACCGAUCCCUCUGGGCGCAGAAUGCCCAGUGAGGGCUGUGCACAGAGAUGAAAGUUGAGGGAUUUAUUUGGAUAUUGUUACAUUAGAGGGGUAUGUAGGCCCCCUCUCUCUCUCCAACCCUCAUUUCUCCCUCACUCUCUCACACUCUCUUGCUCCCUGUCUCUCUCUAGAAGGAAAAGAGAAGGAGAAGAAGAGAAAGAGAAGAAGAAAAAGGAGGAGGAGAUCAAGCUCAAGGAGCCUUGGAGCAUCUUCAUCUUCCUCUCCUCACCAUUGGAGUAGCUCUAGAGGUAAGCUACCAAACCCUAGCUUGUGGAACUUAAGUUUUUUGGGUUUUAAGCUUCGGAAUUGGGGUCAAAUGGACCCCAAGUACCAUUGUUGGUGGAUUAAAGCUAGAGUUGAGGUUCCAAAAUGCAAAUGGCAAGAUGUGAACCCUAGGGCUCCAAAAAAGGGGUUUUUUGGUAAGGUAUGAGAUUGAUCUCAUUUAAGGCCUUGUAAACCUAAUUGCUAGGUGCCUAAACGCGGGGGCGAAGUCGGAUUUUGCAUUCGUCAAGUGGGUCAAGAGCUAUCGACAAAAUAAGGCCGAUUGAGCAUCAUUUUGAUCCAAGAAGAUCGAGACUUCGUCGUAAAGUUCGUUGAAGGGCAUUUCUAGAGCCUCCAUAAGUGUAGUAGAGAUACUAAACUUGAAUGAGUGGCAUGUCAACUAGUUAGAAGAUAUUACUACAACGACUGAACGAGUGGCAUCUAGUCUAGUAUAGUAAACAUGACAUGGUUCUUGGGAUAGUAGAGGUGUGACGCACUGGACCUUUGCAAAUUUGCAAGGUUCGAGUAAUUGGAUGUGUUUCGAGCUUUUCCACACUUGGUGGAGGGUCGUAGAAUGUUUUUCGAUUCAAAAAGUUCGGAAACUUGAGUUUUGGACGAAACCUGAGAGUUUUUACUCUCGGGGACCGGUCCCUGAAUGGAGAGACCGGUCCCCCAGUAAACAAUGUUGCGCUGUCGGCAAGGCUACCGGUCCCUAGCAGGCGAGACCGGUCCCCGAGCGCGUCCUCGCAGUAAGAGACCGGUCCUGCGCGGGGAGAGACCGGUUCCCGAACGCUGGUUUUUCGGGUUCGCAGCGAGAGACCGGUCCCUUGCAGGGAGAGAUCGGUCCCUCAGCCCGAAAUCUGCCCAGACCGGGCUUUGCAUAGAAUGCAAAGUUGAGGGGUUUUUCUGGAUUUUGUUACACUAGAUGGCUUAUAUGGCCACACCACCUUCUCUCAUUCUCAUUUCUGUCCUCACCCUCAUUUCCCCCCACCAUUGUUAGAGAGAGAAGAGGAAGGAGAAGAAGGAAGAAGAAGAAGAAGGAUAAGGUUUUUGGUGGACUUGGAGCAUUUCUCUCCUCUCCUUCUCUUUCCACCUUGUUGGUGCUUGAGGGCUUGGACUUGGAGCUUGCAAAGGAGGAGAUCUUCACCCUUGGGGCUUGGAUUGAAGCUUCUAAGGACGUUUGUUGCUCAUUCCCUCCUCUAGACCUUGAUUUGUUGGUUUUUAGGAGAUGGAACCCUAGAUUGGGAUUUUAGGGUUUAUUUUGGAUAUUUUGGACCUAGGGCUUUUGGAGCUUGAUCACUUGGAUUAGAGCCUUCCUUUGGGUUGGAUUGGAAGGGAUUUAGCUCUCUUUUGGAGCUUAGGAAGAGAUUUUGCACUAGAGGUGAGUUUUGACCCUAUUCUUGUGUUUGUUAAAGUUUGAUCUUAUAGUUGAUCGUAAUGCCCGUGUAUCUCUUUGCUCAAUACUUUUAGGGUAUUUUGAGGUUCGUGGACAACUUCGUUCGGCGAAACCAGGCACUACGCGACGGUUCGGUGGGUUUGACCUAGUCACACAAUGAGAAAUUCUCAUUUGUGAUGAAUUAAGUAUUGUUAAUUGAAAAAGUAUGUAUAUUCUUGUUAUAUGUAUUUAUUGUGAAUUUUAGAAUGCCUAAAAUGCCUAUAUUGCAUAUAGUAAAAUUUGGACCUCUAUAUAGUAGAGAGUUGCUUGAGAGAGCUUUGGUUUGCAUUUGGCAUUCUAUACGAGACUUGGUUUCAUACUUCUAUAGCGUAAAUGAGCCUUGAUUCAUGCAUUUAAACUUAGAUUUAAUUGUGACAUGAAAGAUGACAAGAUUGCCAUAUAGAGGUAUUGAAGUAGAAUGUAUACGAAUUAGAGAGCUAAUGUCAUCAAGCGGCAUCGAGCUCGGGACAUGUGUGAACCUAGUGGUUAGAGCCAUUGCGGGACUUGGUUUAUGUUGAACAUCAAAUUGCCUAAGUGUCAUCAAGAGGCACUAGGCGUAGUGAGUGUUUGGAACUUCGCUUUGUGACUUAAACUGGAUCUUCGGGAUGCUAGUGACGAUACCAUGUUAGAGACAUGAGGAUUGGAUACUUGAGACUUGGACUAUGCUUGCUUGCCAUUUGUGCUCAUUCGCACAUGCUUGUGAGGGUCGCUCCCUACAAGCCGGCACUCCGGAGUUAGCCUACGCGACUUAUGUUCGCUCGUGCGGUAUUGAGAAGCCUACGGGGUCGAGUGGGACAGACACAUUCCAAGAGUAGGGAUGUUGGGCUACCACAGGCACUUAGGCGGCACAAGCUGGACUACCUUUGGUAGGUCCUUAAUUGGAAAUGGAAAUCGACACGGGAUGAGUUUGUUAUAAUCACUACUAAAUAGAGAGUAGUAGUUGGAUUACUCGGACUUGCUUCUAGUAUAGAUUUGGACUUUGGGUAUACAUACAUACAUGUUGUAUGCUAGGAGACAUUGCUUACUUGCAUUCAUAUAAACAAUGUUGCUAUGAUAAAGGAUAAUCCUCAUAAUUUCAUUAAGCAAACCAUGACAUUAUUUAUGGCUAAGUAGAGACAUAUCCUUCAUGACAAGAUAAUUGUGCAUUACAUAAAUGCCAUGUUUAAUUGCAAGUAAUAGUUUAGCAUUUUCAUUAUGCUUUCAUAAAUGCAAUUACUCGUUAUUACUAUUGCUUUCGACUUACCCUUUCCUUUUGGGGCCUAGUGGUGCAUUGAGCUGAGGUCAGUAAUUGCCCACUGGGAACUAUAAAUUAUAGUUCUCACGCCCUCUGUUUUAUGUUUUCUUUCAGAGCCUUCCACGCCGGGAGAGGCUAGGGACCGUGGGAAGGGCGUUGCUUCGAGUUAGCCCUUCAGUGAGAGACGAGUUUAGGUGGUCUACCUCUCGAUGUAUUUCUUUUUGGAGAGGUUGAGAGCUGUACCAGUGUACUAGAGACCACCCUUCUGUGUACCUUUGAGAUAGAUUUUGUACUACUUAUAUUUACUUUUAUGGUUUAGCUAUGUUUCUUUUUACUCUGGUUUAGAUGAUAGAACUUACUUGCUCUGAUAUCGUUAGUUGCUACUCGUUUUAUUUAUUCUAUUCCUUGCUUUUAUUUUCGCUGUUGUUGUAGACGCCUUAUAUGUGCAGACAUAUGGCGGGUCUGGGCGCGCUCUCGGUAGGGCCUCUGCCGGUCCCGGGGAGUGACAAGAGGUCCCGGCAUCUAGGAUGCAUUGUAUAUUGUGCAGCAGAGGCACAUUGACCCUAGUAGAUAGGGUAUCUUCUUGAGAGGAUUGGAUCAUACUCACUAGUCUGUUUUCGCUUGUCGGUGGUCGCUCCACCGAGGUAUAAGAGUGAGUCGAGGGCUUAACCUACGGGUUAGCCAAGUAGAUUGGGUAAUAAACAUGAAAUGCAUUGUAAAUUUGCAUUAUUAUCUUGAGUAGACAUAAUGUAUGUUGUAGAUUGCAUUGCUAUGUACCUUUUCAUACUCAUGACAUGAUACUAGCAUGAUAGUAGUUGUUGCAUGCAUCAUCAUCAUUGGUGGCAUGAUAGAGUAGUUAUAGUUUAUUUCUCUAUGUAUCUAUCUAUCUUUCUAUCUGUGCCAGCUUAGACCUAGUGAAAAAAUCGGCGGAGUCGGCGGCCGAACCCACUGGAAACUAUAUUUAUAUAAUUUUCACCCCAUGUGAUUUUGGGGUACAGGUACACACAGGGGCGAGCCGAGCGAGGAUCGCAGCAAGGGCAUAACGCCCUGAGUGAGUUAGCUAGUAGCUUUCCUUUAUGCAUUAGAGUACCCUCGUGUACUAGAUACCAUAUAUAUUUGGGAUAGGCAUUGGAGAGCCAUGAUGUAUUUGGAAAAGAACAUGUAAUUACAUUUUGGAAGAUGAAAAUGUAAUGUAACCAAAUGAUGUAAAAAAGUUGAAUGGUUGUUGUUGAACCAAUACGGCGCAGACAGUUGGCACACCGAGUCCAUAUAUCGCUGGAUCGGGAGCACGGAAAACGCGCCAGGGGAUAUGAGCUGUGAUUAUUUGAAAAAUGAUAACCGUAAGCAGUUAUGGGCAGUUCCCAAUGGCAGUUCCAAUCGGCCGAACGUGGCCUUCCAAUCCGGAGAAGAUGGCCGAUCGUGCAAUAACUGAACACAAGGGGAAAAUAUAUAAAUAGGCCUGUAGUACCCUAAAAAGGGGUCUUNGGAGAGCCAUGAUGUAUUUGGAAAAGAACAUGUAAUUACAUUUUGGAAGAUGAAAAUGUAAUGUAACCAAAUGAUGUAAAAAAGUUGAAUGGUUGUAAUAGCUAGAUAUUUUUCUCUUUAUACACUUGUAUUUUACUUGUGAACGUUGACAUCGAUUCAUUCCAACAUUACACUCUCGGGGCUUAAUAGAACAAUAUAAUUAGGUUUUACUCUUUGUUCGAUUGAAUGAGAAAAAGUACUCGUUGCAAAGUUAUACUGUUAGGACAGAACUGAGUAGUCUAAUGUUGUUCCGGUUUUGGUUCUUGUGAACGUUGACAUCGAUUCGUUCUAAAUUUAUUCUCUUGGGGCAUAAUAGAACAAUAUAAUUAGCUUUUACUCUUUGUUCGAUAGAAUGAGAGAAAGUACUCGUUGCAAAUUUAUACUGUUAGGGCGCAAGUUAGUAGUCUAAUGUUGUUCCGGUUUUGGUUCUUGUGAACGUUGACAUCGAUUCAUUCCAAAUUUACACUCUCGGGGCAUAAUAGAAUAAUAUAAUUAGCUUUUACUCUUUGUUUCAGAUUGGAAAUCAUGUGCUCUUGAAAGUCUCGCCGACUCGAGGGAUUAGAAGAUUUGGAAUCCGGGGCAAGUUGAGCCCCCGAUUCAUUGGAUCAUAUGAGAUUUUGAAACGUGUAGGCCCGGUGGCAUACCGACUUGCUCUACCACCGAACCUAUCGGAUGUACACAACGUCUUUCAUGUAUCAAUCCUUCGGAAGUACAUUCAUGAUUCGGCUCAUGUGCUUAAUGCGAUGCCUUUGGAGCUGAGGGAGGAUUUGAGUUUCGAGGAGCAGCCUGUGAGGAUCUUAGCUUGUGAGGUGAAGAUGCUGCGAAACCGCGAGAUCCCCUACAUGAAGGUUCUUCGGAUCAAAUUUAAAUUUUAAUGUAAAAUAGAUGGAUAGAGCAUAUUGAUAUUCUGGCAAAAAUUUGGAUAAGUAUGAAUUUAUUUCUAUUCUAGAGAUAAAAAAAAAUUAAACAAAUUUUGAAUUAAAAUAUAGAUUCACAAUAGAUAUCUUUCGGUUGGCAAAAUUUGAAUAAGUAUAUAUAUUUUUUUAUUUUAGAGGUAAAGAUGAAUUAAAAGUUUGUUUUAUUAUGUUAUUUAUUUUAUGUAAGGAAAGAGGAAUCAAAUUUUUUCCCCUAAAAAUGGGUCUGCUGACAUAUCGAAAUUUGAAAUACGUGCUAGAUAGUAUAGAUAUUAUAUUACAGUUAGAGAUAAAAAGAAUUAAAUAAAAAUUUAUAGUAGAUAUUUUCAGAUUGGUAAAAAUUUGGAUAAGCAUAAAUUUUUUUCUGUUGUAGAAAUAAAGAGGAAAUAAAAGUUUGUUUAAUUCUAUUAUUUAUUUUACGAAAUACAUGCUUUUAUAUAUAGUAUAGAUAUAGAUAGGGGUGGCAAUCCAGCUCGCUGUUCGUGAGUCAGCUCGUGUUCGGCUCGAAAUGAGCUCGAGAUCGGCUCGCUCGUUUAGUAAAUGAGCCGAACACAAGCUAGAUUUUUCAGCUCGUUUAAUAAACGAGAACACGAGCUGGGGUCAGCUCGCUCGUGUUCGGCUCGAUAACAGCUCGAAUGCAUAUAUUUUAUAUUUAUAUACUUUAUUUAAUUUAUAUUUUAUAUAUAAAUAAAUAAUUUUAUUAAUAUAUAUUUUUUAUUAUUUAUUUGUUAGUAAAUAAACAUAUAAAUGCGAGCUAAUUAUAAAAAACUUAUUUAUAUGUCAAAGUUUCAAAUAUUAGAUCAAAGUCUAAUAGAUAAGAAUUAAUAACAUUUAUUUUUAUAUAUAUUUUCUAAUCUAAUUAUUUUAAUUUAUGGUUGUGUGGCCAGCUCGUGAGCCAACUCGUGUUUGGCUAUUAAUAAAACGAGCGGAACACGAGGCUGAAUUUUCGGCUCUCCCGGUACUUUAACGACCAGCUCUGUUCGGGUCGUUUACAUAAACGAGCGAACCACGAUGGACCCCGGCUCUCGGUUCGUGUUCGCGCAUCGUUUACACCUCUAGAUAUAGAUAGUAUAAAUAUAGAUAAUAAUAAUAAUAAUAAAAUAAUAAAUUAAGAUUCGAGUCGGGUUCAGAUCGAAUAAAAUACAAAAUUCAUAGCCCUAUCCACAUUUAUUAGAUUUUUCAGUUCGGAUUCCCAUCGAUCCUUCGAGACACCCGUACUCCCCUGCAGCUCCUCCCUCCCGAUCUCCUCCUUUCCCUUGUUCUCGAUCACCCAAGCCCUCGUCCUUACGAUCCCCAUGGACGGCGAGGGGGGCAGCGGCGGCGGAACCCUUUCGGAGAUCUACCAGAGCGCACGUCGCCUCCUCCUGCGCGCGAGGGAUGGGCUCGAGAGGCUCGAACGGCUCGAAUCCUCCUCCUUCUCCUCCUCCUCAUCGUCGCCCUCGCUCGGGGUCGGCGCCGAUUCGCCCGAGCUCGCCUUCGCCAUCAAGAGGGAUAUCGCCCAGAUCCGGUCACGCUGCGCCGAGAUGGAUCACCUCUGGCGAUCCGUCGCUGCCAAGGGCCAGCGGGAUCUCUGGAAGAGGUAACUGAUCUGGAAACCCUAGCCAUUUCAAACUUGAUUAGGUUUUGCUGCUAUGCUAUGCUAUGCUAUGCUAUUCAGUGGGUUGAUCUGGAGAUUUAUUUAUUUUUAUUUUUAAUUUAUUUUUUAAAUAAGGCAGAAUUGAAUUGAUGGGAAAUUAGGGGAUCGGGGGAAUGUUAUUAUGAUUUGAAGAAUGGUUUGCUCAUGAUUUGGUUUGAUCUCAAGAUCAGCGUUCUCACGAUUAUUAUCUAAUAAAUGUGCGUUUGCUGGUAACUCACCUCGUUCCUUCUUUCUUCGCCUAUGCUUAUUCCGUGUCGUAUAUCGAUUUUGUGUAGUUGUUGGCUCUUGAUUGUGAGGAAUGAGCCUGCGUCGAGCUGACGAAUUUGCUGGGAUCAAUUUCUCAAAUGUGGGUAAAAGAUGCAACCCGCCGAGAUAUUGCUGCUACAUAUUUUAUCCCUUUUUGUCCUUGUUAAUUUCAGUUGGUUUUCUUUCAUUAAUUCAAUUUGAAAUUUUUAUCCCAAUCAAACUAAAUUGGUGGGUAUCAGUAGUUGAAGAGAUUGUUGUCUCUGAUAUUUUUAUUAGUUAUGUUGCUUAUACAAGAGCCUAAUUUUAGACUCUCUCAUCUAAAAUAAUAGGAAUAAGAGAUUUUCUUCAUAUCUCAAAGUCAUUCUUAAAUAAAAAGAGUGAGAGAAUAUAAGAAGAAGAAUCUGUAUUUUAUAUUUCAAAAUAGGAAGUAGCAAAACUGAUAGAAGAAUCAAUUAGCAUAAAAAAUCUAGCCAACAGAAUAUGGGAUUAGAAAAAGAAUCAGCUUAAAAAUAUCCAGAGAAGAUAGAAAAAAACUUAAGUGAUGAAAAUGCACCAAUAAAAGAGGCAACAGUCAACUCAAAUCAAAGGAAAGCCUAAAUUUAAGUUCUAUAAUGUACUGAAAUAAAUUUUAAACUCGUAUUUUAGAGUUAGGAAAUCUGCAGUAAUUGGAGUAGAUGAAGAAAGUACGCUAAUCUUUAGGAGUAGCAAAAUUUGGAGAACAUCUAAAAUAAAAAGAAUAAAAGGAAUAAGAGAAUAUAAGAAGAAAAAGCAUCAACAUUUUACAUAUGAAAAAGGGAAAUAGUAGAACUAAGUAGUAGAGCUGAUAGAGGAAUUAGUCAGUAUGAAAUAUAGUCAACAAAAUAUGUAAUUAGAAAAAGAACCUUCUACAAUCUAGAGAAGAGACAAAAGACUAAGUGAUGAAGAUACACCAAUAGAAGAAGAAGCAACCAACUUAAAUCAAAGGGAACCCUUCCAAAAUUGGAAAUAACUAAUAUAUUGGUUCUUUUUUCUACAAAGGAUUUUCUUUAAAAAAUAUCUUUUCUUUCUUCAUUUUUGCCCACCUUACUUGUCACGUCCCGAGACCGCCAAUUUGGUCGGAUUGGUCCUGCACACAGACGCCAAACGAACAGAACCUCCUCUGUUCGCCUAAGGCUCAGCAACAACAACUAAACAUGUAUAAUGAAAUGCCCAGAAAAAUUUCCAGUAUAUAUGGCUUACACGAAGGUAAGCAACACAAGCAAAUGAAAGUAAACUAACUAAACCAUUCAUACAUUGUAACUUGAGUACUUUAAAUCAAAUACAAAGCUUACAUGUCACGCCCCGGAGACGGCAAGGCCCUCCCGGUAGCGCGCCCAGACCCGCCAUAUGUCUGCACAUAUAAGGCGUCUACAACAACAGCGGAAGAGAAGCGAGAGAUAAUCAACAACUAGAGAUAUCAAAGCAAGUGUAACAACUAAAUACUAACAACAAGAGAAGGAAGGUAAAGUAAUCCACUAAAAGUAAGCAUAAAGUAGUACAAUAAUCAUCUCCAAAAGGGUACAAUAAGGGGUGGUUUCUAUACAUGGGUGAAACUCUCAACCUUUCUAAAAUGAAAACAACGAGUGGUAGACCACCUAUAGACGCGUCCCUCGAAGCAGCUAACUCGAGGCAAUACCCUUUCCACGGUCCCUAGCCUCUCCCGGCGUGGAAGGCUCUGAAAUAAAACAUAAAAUAGAGAGCGUGAGAACUAUAAUUUAUAGUUCCUAGUGGGCAAUUACUGACCUCAGCUCAAUGCACCAUUAGGCUUCAAAAGAAAAGGGUAAGUACGAUAAGCAACAAUAGUAGUAAUAGAUGAUAAUAAACUGCAGAAUUGAAAGCAUGAGUGAAAUGCUAUGCCACAGGUAAACGUGAUGUAUAUCAAUGCUAUCAUGUUUGAAUAUGCCAAUGUCGGGUAAAUACGCUCAUCAGUUACCAAGUAUACUAAGAUGCGAUAAGUAAUCCUAUCAAGUAUACUACAUGUCCCAAUAUCUCAAAGCCACACUAUGAGUAUGUCCAAUAAUCCAACUGCUAUGAUCUAUUUAGCAGUGAUUCAAAUUUAAGAGGUUAUGUUCAAGUUCAAUCUUGUUUUGGAACUUACACGAGUGUAGUCCGGCUUGCGCCGCCUAAGUGUCGGUGGUAGCUCCAGCAUUUUCACUCUGGAAAUGAGCCUAUCCCUCCCGAUCCCAUAGGCUUCUCGAUACCGCACGAGCGAUCAUAAGUCGCGUAGGUCAACUCCGGAGUGCCGACUUGUAGGGAGCGACCCUCACAAGCAUGUGCGAAUGAGCACAAAUGGCAAACAAGCAAUAUCAUCGUCUCAAGUAUCCAAUCAUCAUGUCUCCAACAUGGUAAAAGUCACUUGUAACCCGAAGGUCUAGUUCUAUGUCUCAAUAUGAGGUUUAAUCGUUCAAUCAUUUCUAUGUCAAUGACCAUAGCUUUACUACGUCAAAUCCAAGCCCAAUGCCCCUUUUAUGACAUUAGCUUACUAAAUCACGCGUCAUGUACAUCUAUGUUCUUUGAUUUCAUUACAUUAUGCUAAGUCCAAAUUCAGUCCCAACACUAGUGCUGCUUUAUGACACUAGGUUUCACUUGUCCCAAUUACAUCACACGCCCAAUGCCCCUUUAUGACAUUGGCUCAAUAGUAAGCUAAUAGUGUAAGUUUCAAGUCUCUUCACGGCAUUAUGUAUGGUCCUAUGUCCAACAUGAGAGUUAUGUCUAAAUGCACAUUAUCCUUCUCAUUCUCACUAUAUAAAACAUGCUCUUGAGUCUUAUCUAGAAUGCUAAGCACAUGCAUAAGUCUCACAUGCCACUCUCUGCUACAUAGAGGUCCAAAAAUGUAUUAUAUACAAUGUAGGCAUUUUAAGCAUUCUAAAAUUCACAAUAAAUACAUUUAUCAUGGAAAUGCAUGAAUUUCUACUUUACGAAGUAUAGAACAUCGGAUAUGAGAAUUUCUCAUAUGCUAGGCUAGGUCAAACCCACCGAACUUCGCGCAACCCUUCGUUUGCUCCAACGAAGAUGUCCACUAAGCUCCUAACACCCUAGAAGCAUCAAAAAGUGAGCUACAAGAAGUAAACGAACAACUAUUAACUCAAUCAUUAACCAUCUAGGCAUAGAGGGCUAAACUCUCACCUAUAGUGUAGAAAUCCCUUCCCAAAGCUCAAAUGGAAGCUAGAUCUCUCCCAAAGCAACCUAAACCAAGGUUCUAAUCCAAAUAGAUUAGCACAAAAAGCCCUAAAUCAAAAAGCCCCAAUUUAACCCUAGAUUUUCCAUUCUAGGGUUUCAUCUCCCAAAAUCCACCAAAACUAGGUUUAGAGGGGAGGAACAAGCAACAAACCUCUUUAGAAGUUCCAAUCCAAGCUCCAAGAGUGAAGAUCUCCUCUCUUGCAAGCUCCAAAUCCAAGCCUCCAAGCAUCAACAAGGUGGGAAGAGAAGGAGAGGAAAAUGCUCCAAGUUCUCAAGCUAGAUCCUCCUCCUCUUCUUCUCCUUCUUCUUCUUCUCUUCCUUCUUCUCCGUCUCUAUCUAGGGUGUUGGGAGAAUGAGAGAAAGAGAAAUGAGAAAAGGGAGAGGGUGAAAUGGCCAUGUAGGCCAUCAAAUGUAACAAAAUCCAAAGAGGCCCCUCAAUUUCCCAAUAUUGCAUCAGCUCGGACUGGGCAGUUUUCGGACUGAGGGACCGGUCUCUCCGAUCUGGGACCGGCCUCUCGGCCUGCCCCGAAAAUCCAACGUUCGGGAAUCGGUCUCUCCCUGCAUGGGACCGGUCUCUCCCCGCAUGGACGCGCUCGGGGAUCGGUCUCAUCCGCCAAGGACCGGUUGCCUCAAGGCUGCCGCACUACUGUUCCGGGGGGACCGGUCUCUCCUAGCCAGGGACCGGUCCCUGAGAGUAAAAACUCUCAGGACUAGUCCAGAACUCAGGUUUUCGAACUUUUUAGGUCGGAAACAUUCUACGACCCUCCACCAAGUGUAGAAAAGCUUGAAACACAUCCAACCACUCGAACCUCGCAAUUUGCACAGGUCCGUGUGCUACAUUACAGGUUAUGCAUUCACACAUUUACAUUGCCAUCUCUCAAUGAAUAACUUACAUUUCCUUUCAUCAACUAUAAACAGAUGAAAUAUACAAGGUAUAGCUAUACUCAAUAGAUGUUGCUAUCUAUAGCGCGUUGUCUCUGUCACGAUCCUCAAUCACCCCGCACGAGCUAGAACCUGCAUGGUUAGUGGGGUGAGAACUACUAAAAAUUUCCAGUGGGUUCGGCUGCCGACCUCGCCGACUCACCUACUAAGUUUACUCAGGCAUAUAUAGGCAAAGAAAAGAACAGAUAGUAACCAACUAUAACAUGUAAUUACUACAAUACCUGUACAAAGCUGAAAGGAACAAUAUAUAUAACAGAUGAAAAUUAUGCAUGCAUGCUAUUAAUAACCAUUACCCAAUCAAUCUGGUUAACCAUUUGGUUAACUAUAACUUACCAACUCAAUCACUUUUGUCGGGCCCUAAGCUGCCUCCCGAUGGGACCGUCUACUGGGAAGACUUAUACGAUCAACCGAGUUGAUGACACACUCCGGAGCUCAUCGCCCAAGGAGGAGAGACCUUACCUUGAGCAUUAGACUAAUGUGAGUAUGAUCCAAUCCUCACUUAGAGGAUGCACUGACAAUGCCACACUUUGACUAGCUCUUUAUGCUAGAUUUACAUGUCCAACUCUAGAUGCUAAUCAGUUCAUCUAGUUUUAAUGCCACACAUUUUACAAGUUCAUACAUCUAUAGGGUUCUAUGUUUACUAACCAUUGUCCAACUGUACUUUGCUUUCAAGGUAUACAAAUAGACCACAUGUCAAUCUAAUCACAUAUCAAGCUCAAUCCUAUAAUGCAUGAAUUUCAACUAAACAUAUACAAUCCAUAUAUGCUCAAGAAAAGUGGCGUAAACAUAAUAGGUCAUUCGAUGACUUCGGAAAGCACCACCCACCUUUAAUUAAUGCCGGAGUGCGAGAAAUCCACUUCCCGCACUUUAUGAACCAUCACGACCCUCGCUCGCGGUAAACGAAGCUAAAAUGAGGUUUUCCUCACUAGCUUGCCGUAGGCUCAUCGAAACGCCGAUCUGAGCUUUCCAACGCGUCAGUUUUACCCUCUAUUAGGUUUUCACGCGAUCAAUUCCAACCUAGAGCCUCAAUCUUGCAAAAUUGCAUUUCUAAUUUUAGGCCUCACAUAACUGUUACUACACCACUCUACAACAACAUAUAAAGUAACUCAACUUUAACUAGUCCAAGAACCUCAAAACUAACAGUUUAGAGGAUUUACCACAACCCUCAACAAAAACCUGCAUGCUGGUUCAUCACAAUUCCCAGCAGCCUAGCUUACAUAUAACAUACGUAUAGUUUCAUUAUUAGGUUCCCUAACAACUUUAACUCAUAUACAUAUUGUUAACUCCCUGGUUUACACAGCAUCCAGGAAUUCCAAUUCAAACUCCUUUUCGAUAAAUAAUUACUCCAACUUACCAUAGAACUAGCAACUUAAAUUCUAUAUGCUAUCAACUUAGCAUAAUUUCUAGAUUUCCAUAGCAUUCAAGAUGCUUUAGCAAUCAAGAUUUAUAAUUUAAACUUCUUUAGAGUGUAACUAGCUUAAAUCCCAGCUGAGAAACAACUUCUUACCUCAAUUCCUAAACUUCCUCCGCUAGUUUCCUGCUCCAAAAGCUUUCUUCUCAGCUCCAACAGCAAGAAAUCUGCUUCGAAAUUCUUCUCUACCAAGCUUUUCCUCACAGCCACUACAAGCUGAGAAUUAGCAAUUCUAUUGCUUACAACUCUCUCUAAAGCAAUUCUAAAUGUUAGCUACCAAUAAUUCAUAGCCCAAACACCUCUCUAUGUUAAAUACCAUAACACAAAACAGGGAAUAAGAUCAAUCUAUCCCUGAUUGCAUUUCUAAUCCAUAUCCCAGAACAUCAUGUUCACAAAGCAGUUUUUUUAUGCUUCUACGAGCUUUCACAGCUAUAAAACCCCAAAUUAACCUCUUUCCAAUGUAAAGAACUAAACCCUAAUCAUAACUUGAUUAAGUUUACCUUAAUUCGAUGCUCCAACAGCUAGCUUCCCUGCUCUAAAGCCUUCUCUUCAGCUCAAAACACCAAAAUCUGCACUUCUCCAACUUCUUCUUCACCAACUUGCUUCUAGGGUUGAGAGAGAAAGAGAGGGCGAAAUAGAUAAGAAGAAGGCUGUAGGAAGGAGCCCCUGGUACGUGGGCACCUGUAAAAUACCUGGGUUAAAGAGAUAAGACUGGAAUUUUACAACUUAACCCCCUAAAUAGCCAAAAGUGCAUUGCAGUCCAGCAAAUUUCGCAUGCUGGUACCGGUACUGGCUGAGGUACUCAAUGUAAAAUUCUGCACUAGCAGCAGCCUGGCAGCAGCAGCAAUUGGAGGCCUUUUUGCGCGUCUAGUUCACUCCGAAUCCAUCUAAGUACCUCCAAAACAUGCCAAACACUAUCCCCAAGCUAUCAAUUUAGUUUGGGAAUACCACAUUUACAUUAUUGCUUCUCUUUGAGCAAUUGAAUCCAAGUUAACCUUGUCAACCAAAACUCUCUUCUAAUUUCGUUUCGCGCCCGAUUUGCAUCAAACACUCAAUUACCUCCAGAAAUCAUUCCCACACCUCCAAAAUCACUCGGGAAUGAUGCACAUCCAAUUUAAACUUCACUUUGAUCUUCCAGAUCAAAGUUAGCAUCGCAACUCAAAAUUUUCAGUAUAUUACAUUACUAAUCAAGUGUAAAAACUGAAUGGAUAAGAAGAAGUAGAGAAUAUAAUAGAUAGCAAAAGAACACCCAAUUUAAAGAUGAAAAAGAAAAAAGAAAGCAGCAACAACAUGAACGUGACCGACAACAUGAACAACAACAUUAUUUUAUUGUGUAGUAGAUGGAACAUAUCAAUAGUAUGAACAAUGCAGACAAUGUAAACAACAAUCCAGCAACAAUAGACUUAGUUGCAAUUUCCUUUUCUUCAUAAUUUUAUUAAAAGGACUAUCACCAACACAAAGAAGGGCAAAACAACAAAGAAAGACACCUAAACAUGUGACAGAAUUCAAGCCUAAACGUAGACAAAGACUAUUUCUGAAAUUCGAGAUGCAAAACCAACCUAAUAACAUACUUAGUAGGUCGGGAAAAAAAAGAGAGAACAAAUUGUAUCCAAUAAUCUUCGUCAAACGGGAGAAAGGCUAGAUCUUGUAAUAACUAGGAGGCGUUUCCGGAUCAUCACUAGUUGUUGCUGUUGUUUCUACAGUACCUGAUGUUGCCGGAUGUCCAGUGGGUUCUUCUUCCAUCGGAUCAACAUUAGGGGGAUCAAUGAAAGCGCAGCAUCAAUACUUUCCUUAAUUUCCUUCAAGGCAGUGACAAUUUAUUUAUUUUUCUUCAAUUAAAAAAUUAUAAGACUUUUUGAGAAGAUCAGAGUUCAAAUUAAACAUUUCGUACUCAUUUUGGAGUUCCAAAUGCUCAUCAUAAAUACGAUCAUGUAAGUUCUUAUAAUAUUUCUUGUUCUCAAAAUUAACAUCUCUAACUUUAAAUCCCAAUUCUUUACGAAGCCUCCUAAUAGCUGCACAUGCGGCAUCUCUUUAGCUUGAUUCGACUCAGAAAUUGAAGCACCAUAACAUGUAAUUAUCUUCAUAAAUCGGCUACUUCUGGGUACUUCCACAUCAACAUAAGAACAGAAUCAACAAUCAGCAUCUAUAGUCAUGCGGUAUCUCGGGGGAGGUAAGGAAAUUUGCAAACAGAUAUUACGAAGCAACCGGCGAAAGCUGAUGUCGACAUUUAUGGAAGAAUCCAUCUCUGCAAGAAAAUGCAAGUUGCCGAAAAUUACACGGUGACCGUAUAUUUUAGCAUAGACUUGUCUUUCAAUUUAGUUAAUAAAUACAUUAUCUAUCAAUUUAUACAUAUUUGGAGAUAUACUUACAGGCAAUAAAUUUAUAAUUAAAAAAAGCACAUGAAGAGAUGCAAUAGUUAUUUAAAUUGUAAAUAUAUUUUUGAAACAAAACACAAAUUGCUGAAAAUUACUUACAAUAACAGGGAAGCAAUGCAGAAGCAAACAAAUGUAGAACGACAAUGCAAAUCACCGUCACUUUCCUGAGGGAAAAAAAGUUAUGUUAAUUAAAAAAUAGUUAAUGUCGGCUAGGAUUACGGGUAGAUAAAAUUAAAAAAUAAAAAUAGUAUAAAAAUUUUAUAGCUUACGGGAGAAAAAGGAUUGGGUUAUCAGAUACAGGAAAAAAUGGAUGUCAUAUGUGUUAUUGUAUAGCCGAAUGGACAUGUGUUAGGGUAUAGGAAGCUCUGCUGCGAAACGCUUCACCCAUAGUGGAUUAAUCCAAAAUCGAAAACGGCGACGAAGGAAGACGAAAAGACGAUGAAAGAAGCGGCGGUGAGGGGAGAAAUCCAUCGUUUGAUUCCGGCACCACAAACAGCUAGAAUAGAAGAAGAAACGGUGAUAGAAGAAGCGGUGGCAAGGAAAAGGAUCCAUUGUGCCCAAGGAAGAGGAAAAGGGAUGGUUCGGCCGGAACGUAACAGCCUAAGGAAGAGGAAAGGUCUGACUCGGUUUGGUUCAUGCAAGGAAAGAGUGAACCAGGUUAGGUUCAAGCAAAGAAAAAAAAAAUUGAGCCGAUUCGAGCAGGUUCACCCGGUUUGGUUCAAAAAUAAGAAAGAGGGAACCUGGUUCGAUUCAAGCAAAGAAGAGGGAACCUGGUUCGGUUCAAACAAACAAAGAGAAAAACUUGAGUUGGUUUGGGCACAUUAACCUAGUUCAAUGAAAGAAAGAUAGAAAUACAUAGAGGACUUGAGCCGGUUCGGGUUGGCACCAACACUAAACAAUCCGGUUCGGUUUAAGGAAAAAAAGAUAGAAACAUGUGAAGGACUUGAGCCGGUUCGGGUUGGUGCCCACACUUAGCAAAUCCGGUCCGGUUCAAGCGAAGAAAGGACAUGCUGCCACGUGGCAAAUUUAAGGGAAAUAAUGAUAAGAAAGAAAGAUAGAAAUACAUAGAGGACUUAAGCCGGUUCGGGUUGGCACCUACACUAAGCAGGACUUAAGCCAGUUCGGGUUGGCACCUACGCUAAGCAGGACUUAAGCCGGUUCGGGUUGGCACCUACACUAAGCAAUCUGGUUCGGUUCAAGAAAAAAAGAUAGAAACAUGUGAAGGACUUGAGCCGGUUCGGGUUGGUGCCCACGCUCAACAAAUCCGGUUCGGUUCAAGCAAAGAAAGGAUAUGCUACCACUGGCAAGUUUAAGAAAAAUAAUGAUAAGGAAUAGAUUGUUCUAAUUAAAGAUGUAUGCGUUGAGAAAAGUUCACUAACAUAAUUAAGGUUCCGUGGAAGUUGAUUUCUCUUAUUUAUGAUUGUUUUUCUGGAUUAUCCCUUUAAAUAUAAUGAUUUUGUGUAGUCCUUGGUUCUUACUUGUGAGGCAUUCAUUGUGCAGAGUGAACAAAUUCGGAUGGAAUUCGAUUCUUGAAUGCAUGAAAAAAACUGUAAGCCUGGAGGCUGGAGCCAGAACAUGGCUUUUUAGAAUGGCUGAAAUUACAUGAUUAGUCAUGGUAAUUUGAUCAAAAUUUUCCACUCGUCCACAUCAACUCGUUGUACCUUUGUUGAGAACAAAGAAAAUUUGAACCCUUUUUUUUUUAUCUUAUCAUAAUUGAAAUGACUAAUAUCAAAAGAAUGACAAAUGAGAACCGAUGAUCAUUUGCUCUGAGAAAAAUUUUGUUGAUUUUUAGAAAUUUUUAGAAAUGUUCCUUGAUUUAGUAAAGCAUUUGAAAAUUUUAAGACAUAAAAUUUAGUGUUUUGAUCUUGCGUGUAUUGAUUAGUGGUAGGGGUUGUGAGAUAAUUAUUCAGUAUUACGGUGCUGUACGACUCAUGUGUGGUAAAAUAAGCCAUGUAUAAGUCUUGUUAAUGUAUAACGACUGAUGGUUCUUGCGCAUUUGAGAUGUAGUGCAUGCACUUUUGAUACGUUAUAUGAUCAAUGCACUAAGCUGCUCUAUCAUUAUCUGGGUUUUGAGUGCAGUUCAACUAAUUUUUGCUCAAAGUAGGUUUUCUUCAACCAAAUGGAGAGAAUGUUAAGGACGCUUUAGUUGUGAUUAGCAGGAAAAAACAAGGAAAAGAAAAAGAGAGACAGGUUGCCGCACACUAUUUAACUCGUUUUCUUUGCUUUGUAAUUAGAUAUGCACAAUACUGUUCGUGCUCUUUGGCAAGCAUCUAACAAAUUUUGAGGCUUUUUGCAUUUUGCUGUAAACCAAUGCCUAUAAUCUAAAACACUACGUACUGAUCCAAGUACUAGCUUAUCAAAUAAUAUGUGCUCAACUUUGUCUAUCUCCUUUUGCCUAUAGUUGGAUUAUCUUUAUUAAGGCCGUACUAACAGCAGUGACAGGUAUUCUGUAUUAUGGGAAAUUAUUUUGGGCAUGUUGACACUGUAUAUUCUAAUUGGUAGCAUCUAUAGCCUUCUGUCCUCUCCUGAAAAUCACAAAGUGCAAUCAGCCUGAAUCUACAUUAUCUGUCACUAAGUCGUGGUAUAAACUAUUUUGCAUUUUGUGUUACAUUCCUUACGCCUACUUUGUUCUCCCAUUAUCAUGUUCCACCUUUUGACGAACUCAAAAUUAAAUGUGAAAAUAACAUUCCUUCUUGGUGGACUUUCAUAUUGCUUAAACUGUACUUUGCUGGAGCUUAUGGAUUAUUUCUCUUCUUUAGCCUGUGGGACCCAUGCUUCUUAGUGCUCUCCUUAAAAUUGGUUCUAUUCUUAUCAUUUAACCGGUUUGUUGUUUCCGCUAUCGUCGCUUCGGAUUCUAUGGGCCCUGAGCGCGGAGGUUCCUUCUCCUUUCCCGACCAUUUCCUCUCUUCGCCGCCUUGGUUUCUUGCAUCUGUUGAAGUCGAAGAGUUGUUCUAUGCCAUUUCUCCUACCUGCCUUUGCGUAUGUAAUUCAGUCUCGCUUCCGCGAUCUCUGCUCCUCUAUAUAAGGUGGAGAGGGAAGGGAGACAUCCUUAGGCGUAGUCUAAAACCCUAGUGCCACCCUUCCUCGCGAUCAGUGACGGCGCCUCUUGGCUCUCUCUCCCUCUUUGUGAUCUGAUUAAGGUUCGGUUGAGCUACUUGAGGGCUCACAGUGCGAUUUGGGGCGUCUUGUGGGGAUCGGAUCGCUUUAUCCCUCAAACUUUUAGGUAAGUUUUGCAAAUUUAGCUGAAGAAUCUCACUUGAAGAACAUUUUUUUUCCUCUCUUUAUGAUCCUUUUGAGGUUUAUGUUGCUAUAAUUUUGGGUUUGGAGCUUGAAUCCUUUGGCAUCGAUCUGAUCGGUUUUUCUUUUUUUAUUUUGUGCAAACUAUAAAUUAAUUUGUCCACAAGUUUAAUACCCUAUGAAGAAUCUGACAUCAAGGAGCUGUUAAUGUGCUCUUCUAGCAUAUUCGUGGAUCAAAAGAUAGAGUUUUGGUGCUAUUAUUGAUGGUAUUAUGUCUUUUUGAUGCAAUUUAAUUGUAAAUAAGUGCAAUUUCAAAGGAUGCAUGUAUGAAUACAUUCCUAUAAACUUGCAUAGAUAUAGAUAUAAACUUCUCUACACUUCUUUAGUUAUUUAGNCCGAAUUAGUUUAUCGAAACCAUGUGCAGUCAACACAACAGAUAACCACAUAAAAACACAUAAUAAAUAAAUAAAUGAUUAACUAAAUAACUAAAUAAGUGCAAUUUCAAAGGAUGCAUGUAUGAAUACAUUCCUAUAAACUUGCAUAGAUAUAGAUAUAAACUUCUCUACACUUCUUUAGUUAUUUAGUUAAUCAUUUAUUUAUUUAUUAUGUGUUUUUAUGUGGUUAUCUGUUGUGUUGACUGCACAUGGUUUCGAUAAACUAAUUCGGUAUCAAGUAUUUACUGAUUGAAUGUUUAGUAGAGAAAACAAAUAUGAAUUUUUGAUGGGUGUCCAAAAUUUUUGUUGUGUUGAAUGUACAGAGUUUUGGGAUUUGGAAAAAUAUGUUUAAGCGUUAUUGAAGAACGGAUCUUUGUUAUUUUAUUGUUCAGCUACUGGUUUGUAUGUGUUUGAUGAAAUGCCGAUUUGAAACUUAAUUCAAUAUAAAGAAAAUGCCUAUAUUUUUCCGCAUCCUUACAUUUUGAUUUUUUUAUUUUAUAGCAUGAAGAGGUGGUGAUAAAUUAUAUAAUCAGAUUAUCUGAAAAUUAAAAUACGGAUUAUGCGGUAAAUAGUUGAAUUUCCUUUUAAUUGGGCACCUCCUGUUAUUUUCUUUGAGUUAUUUAAAGUUCCAUAUCAGGAAUUGAAUAGCAAGAAAAGGUUGGAUGCAACCAACACUAUUAUUUAAGGUAGUUUGGAUGCAGGUGCUGUGGACAUUCAUUCUUGAAUGGAAUUUAUUUAAGCAUUGGUAAGAGAGGAUAAAUUGAUCUUUUGUAGGGUGGGUGGCAUUGGAUUAAGUUGAUAUUUUAUAGGGUGGGUAGCAUGCGAUUAUUUUCUUUGCAGUCGCCAUAAUAAAAUGAGUGCUACUUAGGUUGAGCGAUAUGUUGAUUAUUAAAACAAAAUGGUGGACUUGGAGAUAGCAAGGAAUUUGAAAAUCAUCUAUCAUCAUUUCUAAACAUGUAAUUGGUUCUGAUUGGUUGGCCCAAUUUGAAACCUUGAUGAGUCCGUAUAUUUGUAUACUGGAGCUAAUUCGACUAUACGCUGAAAUAAGAAAAACUUACUAUGAUGGUGGUUCGCAUUAAGAUUGGUUGGAUGGCAUCAUUCAUGUCAAAUGCAGCACUAUGCAGUAAACUGAGGACCGUAUCACCUGAGCCGUUCUCAUAUUCAAAUGCUCAGAUUUGUUGAAGCCAUCGGAACUAAUUAGAUGCUUGAAAUUAUUAAUGAACUACCAAUUUUUAUCUAUGGUUGAAUUGAAUGUGUGGAAAUAGUGAGCGAUGAUAUUAUAGGCUGAUUCGAAUUUGAUCAGGACAUUAGGGAAUUAGAAUUGCUAUUUGUUUGCUGGUGUUAAUAGAGUGUAGACGAUUCAGUAAGUACUUACACUACAUUAGUACUUUGUUAAAAACAGCUUCACUUUCUUUUUUCACACCGCCGUAGUAUAUACAAAUCAAAGAAGAUUUUGCUAACAAAAAGUGUUAUUUUAGAGUAAUUACUUUGUGGUUUUCCAUUCUACUGUUUUAGUAUAAGCUUUGAUCACAAGAAAAAAGAAAAGAAUUUUAUGCUCCAAUGCGAUUUUCCAGUAUAUGUUGCUUUUGAAUUUUUUUAGUUUUCUCUCCCCUUUUUUUGUGUACUUUGAAACUUUUUCAAUGUGUGGAGGUCCUGGCAUUAUUUUCUACCCUAUCUAUUUCUUUGUGCUGGAGUAUUCUUUUAGUUGUUGGUUAUUUGACUAUUACUUCACUGUUUGAGAAUUUCUUGCCUUUCUCCAUAAUUUGAUUGAUACUUUUUUGUGGCUGGGUAUUAAACGAUCAUAAUUUGCCUAUUUCUAAAAGAAAUUUUUUUCGUCGCGCCUUAAGCUCCCUUCUUAUAACUAUCGCUUCAUAUAUUUAACUAAACCUCACUGUCUAUUACUUCAUUUUCUUACUACCUAAGAGUUUUUUUCAGUUAUUUUGAAAGAUUGAAUAAUAAGGUUCUCACACGAUGUUGGUGAUGCCAAUGUGUGCAUUCUUGAUUUUUCUUUGAUUUGCUCUUUAAGUUUCAUAUGGAUGGAUACUUUUUUCUAUGCCUUUUUGAUAUUAUUUUAUUUAUUAUUGAUCUUCUGUUGUUAAAUUUUGAUUUAAAAAAUAUUUAUUUUCUUCAUCAAUGAUGCAAAUCAGUAUUUGACCGUAUACUCUAUUGUUUGUAUUUUCUUUUUUUUCCUGAAAUUCAUGUUCCUCAUUUGAUAGUUACAGGAUUGCUUUUUAUAUAUUUGAUGAAUUGUUAUUGCAAGCUUUCUUCUCUAGACUAUCGUCAAUAAUACAUGAUGAUAAAAAAAAAAAUUGCUUCAACAUUAAUAUCUAUCCGCUGCAUCGUGCUGGUACUAAACUAGUAUGUACUUAUUGCCGUAGUCUUUACCAUCUAAGCUUCCUUAUCCCUAAAUACGUAAUGCAGGGCUAGAGGCUUUUUAGAAGCUCUGACCAGAAACAGCAAAGAUUUGAUAAUUCUUUACAUAUUAUGACUAAUCCUUGACAUAUUAUAUGUCAUUACAGAAAACUGGAACAGCUAGCAGAAGAGGUUGACUCGCUGAAGGAGAGUCUUGACAAGCAUUUAAUGCGCCAACAAAAGCGAAUGGUCGAAGCUAAAGAAAGGGCAGAGUUACUGGAAAGAGCAGUAAGAAUUCCUUGAUUUGGAAUAUAAAAAAGAAGUUUUAAUAUCAGUUAUUUUUUUCCACCUGCAUAGUUGUUGGUCCUCUAUGAAAUAAGGAUAAUUUGGCUUGCUGUUUUAAUGGAAUAUUAGAGGUUAUAUGUAUGAUUGAUUGCAAUGAAUGGAUUCAACAUGGUUGUUGCAGAAUGGGGACUCCUCUCACGUUCUGAGGAUAUUUGAUGAGGAAGCACAAGCAAUGCAAUCAGCUCGAAACUCCUCCAUAAUGCUUGAGGAAGCUUAUGCCACUGGAGUGGCUAUUCUAUCGAAGUAUGCCGACCAGAGGGACCGCUUGAAGGUAAUUACUGAUCACCUACUUGUAUGAGACAUUCUCAAAAUCAGAGAUCAGCAUGAAUUUAAUCGACUUGAGCUUAUCUGAGACCAAAUAUAAUCAAUUUGCAAGUUAGGUCCCAUGUGGAAAAAAUAGGGCCUGUUUGAAUGCAUUGAUAUCUUGUUUAAUGUGCUUCUUUCAUUUCCUUUAGCUGGCAUGUCGUAAUUGGUUGAUGCGGUGUUGUACUAAUGUCUACCGCAGUAUAAUAUAACUUACCUUUAAAUGAUUAAUAUGAUAAAUCACAUAACAGGUGGUACUUGCUAUGUGGAAAAGAUGGAAGAAUCAAAUAUUUCAUGAUAGUUAAGAAUGUAACUCGAAAGUGGUGAUCACAAAAGAAAAACAAAAAAUCACCAUACUACACCAGAUCUCAAUUGGAUGACAUGUUGUGGCAUCCAAAUAGACCCAAGUGUCGAAAUAAGUUUGAACGUCGAGUUCUCCUUGGACUACUAGAUGUUCUUUUCUUUACUGAUAACUGAUUUCUGUGUCUGCAGAGAGCACAAAGGAAAGCGUUGGACAUCCUUAAUACGGUGGGUCUGUCUAAUUCUGUCUUAAAGCUUAUUGAGAGGCGUCAUCGUGUAGACAAAUGGAUUGCUUAUGCCGGUAUGAUCAUUACGAUUGUGGUGGUAUAUGCAUUUUGGAGGUGGACACAUUGACUGUAAUUAUUAGUGUGAUAUCUGAGAGAACCAGCAAACAAUUGUUACUGAGGAUGGUACUCGGAAUAUUCAUUUGGACUUUCCAUUGGCCGAUUGUUGAAGUUGUAUCUUCGCAAAACUAGUCUUUAUAUGUAGGUUUUUAUCAUUUUUUUUUUGAAAAGGGUGACAUUGUAUAUGUUUGUGACCUUUUUCUUUGGGUUUUCUAGUGCAAUAGUCUUCUCCUAAAAUUUUAUUUUAAAAAUAGAUCUGUUUAAUUUUUAUUUAUAAAUAUGGUUAAAAGCGGUGAACUAUUCACCACAUUCUUUUUUUUUCUCACUUCUCAUUAUAUUUCUAUGAUAGUAAAAGCGGUGAAUGGUUCACCACUUUUAUUCUUUUUCUACUCCCAAUGAGGAGUUAUGAAUGCGGUGAAUCAUUCACCGCAUUUAGAGAUCUAUUUUUAUAAUUAAUUUUUAAAAAAAAUUUAUUUUUAUAAUUAUAAAAAUCAAUAGGAUUAUUUAUAAAAUUUUUUUUUUCCUUUUCCUUUUUCCCUUCCCUAGAGUAGGAAUUGGAUUGUAGACUUGCAACAUGCUAUUUGGGACUUACUAUUUAUUUGCACGGCAUGUGCAAGUUGGUUGAAGAUGUUGGGAAUCACCGUUGUAGCAAAGCAAAAGCGAAACGCAAAAGUCUAGACCUUACACCAUUAAGAAAGACAAGCAUGUAAGCAGCAGAGCGGGGAAGACAGCAGAUUUGUUGUUCCAAAUGUUUAAUCUUGUUUUUAUUUCAGUCAAGUUUCCAUCGAAUAUUGGACAUCAAUUAGUCUCGCACGGACCUGUAACAAUUGUAAAUAAUAAUUUUUUAAAAAAGCAGUGUCGACAACAAUUGUUGGAGAAGAAAAAAAUAGAAGUUACAUAGGUUGAUUCAGUAGAUAUAUACAGGUUGCUUCAGUAGAAAAAAAAGCAGUGUCGACAACAAGUCAUAAUUCUCAUCCGCUUUUAUGUUAUCUUUUCAUACAGGUGAUGUAUUCGAUGAUGAAGAGCAAAUAAUGGGGCAAAUCAACACUAACGUAGAAGUUAAAUAUCCCUAAAUUUUGUUAAUAACGUGUUUGAGGUGAAAAAAAAAAAUUAAAAAUGAUGAAUAGAAUGUUGAACUUGUAGAAUAUUAUUUUUGAUGUGUGUAUUAAGUAAACCUUAUAUAAAUAGUAUAAUAAUAAAAUGUUGUAUUGUUAUGUAAGCUUUAUUUUACUCAAAAAAGGAAGCAGAAUACUAUAGGAAUGUUGUCAAGAUAUUGUAUUUCGUUUGUCAUGUAAUAUUAUAUAAAUUAUAACUAUUACAUGCUGCUUCUAAUUCUGACACUUUACAUGUACGAAAAAAAUUUUGUCCAUGAAUUGGAUCUGUUACUCACCUAGUUGGGGCUUCAGCACGUCUAACGACAAGAAGAAGCAACGUGAAGCUGAAAAUAAUGUUGUCCCCACUUUUGAAAUGGUCGGCCCUUGAACAAUCAAUUGGACCAGCUAGAAACACUGAACAAGAUUGUUCUGGAAGUGGCAUUCUAGUGGUAUUACUCGCUUGAAGACGAAUCCAUCAAAAUUAAAGACUACAUGGAAGAAGCUUUUCUAGCUGAGUUCACUACAGUUGACGAUAAAAUCAAAAUAGCUACCCUAGUCGCUACCAAAAAGGACAAAGGCAAAUCAAUAUCAGACUAUUAUACAAAGGUAACAAAAUUUUAGUCUCAAAUGUCAAUGUUUUGCCGUAGAACCGUUAUUUAAUAAGUGAACUACGUGCAGUGAGUGGAUUAAUUUUGCUUACAAUGGAGUGCUGUGUCCGCGCACUAUAAUAAAUAGAUUGUAACAAUUUAUACUACAGGAGGAAUCAAACAGCAGAAUCCACCAUUCAAUGGUCACCUGCUUCAACAUAGAAAUUCGAUGAAAAGAGACAUUUGCAAACAGAAUACAAAAGACACAACAUAAAAGCUGGUCCCAAAAGGUAGAACUAUAGAAGCUACAGGGCCAAAAUUACACUACCCAGUACAGAGGAGCACCCCCAGUUCAAUUUGCAGCAGCCAUCACAAAAUAAGACGCCAUAAAGUAUAGAGUUUAUUCAAACUGGAGUCCUUAUAGCAGCAUUCAACAAACACCAACACCAAAAAGAAAACAACCGACUCAACAGCGCAAGAUCGAAACAGAACACAACUAAAGCUUGUAGACUGCUAACAUAGCAGGACACUAUAACCUAAUACACUGCCCAGAGCAAGACAUAGAGACAUAGUAACAGUAGUAAAAGACUUAAUACACUCCCAAGAGCAAGACAUAGCAGUAGUAUUAAUAGGAAUAGUAGUAGUAGAAGUUGACAAAUAUAUGCAAUCAUAUCACUCUUCCUCCUCAGACUCUGCCGUCUGUAGCCACUCAACAAAGGGCUUCACAUUCUUCAGCACCUGAGAGCUCUUGCCGCCAGCUGUCCCUUCCUCAUACCACUGUGCUAUGCUUUCUUCCUCCAGAACAUCCGCAUCAUAAAGUGCUUUGAGAACGAGUGCCACCUCCUUCAGGGCUUCUGCGCGGCACUUGCCACAAAAUACUUCGAUAGCUUGGAGCAAAAGCAGCUGAGAUGCCUCAUCCUGCACAAAAGCAGCAAUGUACUUCCUUUUCUUGCCCACCUCCUUUGCAAAUCCUUUGCCAACACCUCCAAAAAGAGCCUCAAAAAGGGCUGUCAUUACGUCCCGAGAAGGCUGACCUGCUGUACCCAGAAAACUCUGAAGCUGGUUUGGGGUAGAACCCUUGUUUAUAUGAUCCUUGAUCUCCCGAAGCAGUGAAUCAUAAGCACUGAUAUUGGCUUUGUCACCAUUUUGGGUAGCACAAGAUUUUUCUUCAUCUUUGAUCUUUCCAUUAGUGAGCCCCUCUUUCUUUGCCUUCUCUUGCUUUUUGUUAUCCUGCUCAGGCUCAGUGGCGGAGAGCAUCACCAUCUCCGAAGUCACAGCAUUAAGCUGUUCUUGAAUCCGCUGCUUUGCUGCCUCCAGUGAGGUGUCGGUUUGCCACUGGACAUCAUCAUCAUCAUGGUCAUCAUUAUCACCAGCAGCAUUAUCACCAUCUUGACUCUCAACAGGCGAAGCCGAACGAUCCUCAUCAGAACCACCACCAUUAGCUUUCUUCUUCGAAACACCAGCUUUUGCACCAGAGGCUUCCUUGGAAGAAGCACCACCUUUCUUCUUCACAUCCUUUUUCAGCUUCUUCUGCUCCUCAUCAGCAGCCUCCCCUUCCUUGAGCCGUUCCUUCUCAGCCCUCCUCAUUGCCUUCUUAUUAUCUUUUCCUCCCUUCUUUUGCUCAGGUGGGUUCUUAAGAAUGAAGGUUGUGAGCUUAUCCCUCAUAUCAACAUCAGACACAUACCCACAGGCAGCACAUUUCAGGGUAAUCAUCUGAGUCUUAGUGAUCACAAUUUCAGUCUCAGGGUUGCCACAUCCGUAGCACUGCACGUACUUCUUGAUGAAGUUCUCGAGAAGGCCAGCCAGCUUGGCAGUGUCAUGGGCUCCAUUCACUAGGGAAGUGCCAUUCUUCUCAUCGAACUUCGACUGCGCACCAAGCUCACAGCCAAAGUACUUGGUGGUGUAAGAGGCUGGCCUGGCUAGUGCUUUUGCAAUGUCCACCAUGUUCACAAUGUUGGUCUUGAUACCGUUUCCUCGGCCUUCAAUCUUCGUUACCAUCUUGGGCAUCUUGUACCUAUAAAAGGCAUCAUCGCUGUUCGAAGCACCAAUAUUUUGCAAAGCCAUAUUUGCUUCCUUCUUAGAGAAUGAGAAACUUGACACUAUAUAGGCAGCAAAAGUUAGCAGUGCUGUUUCAUUCGAGGAGGCCACGCAGCUGUGAGAUGUUGAUUACAGUAGCAACUACCAAACUUUUGCAGGAAUGCCAAAUGGACUCGUGAUGCAUGCAGCCAAAGAGACUCUCGUAGGAGAGUCGGAACCUUUUUCUUGAUGUAGGAGAAUACUCUCCAAGCAAUCCAAUUGAUCCAAAGUAAAGAGAGGCUUGCUCAGACAUAAAAGAAACUUCAAUGUUCACGGCUUCCACUUUGGCUAUGUGCUUGUAACAGAACAGUCUGGAGAUGCCAACUUCCUGAAUAAGAAUUAGACACAUUAAAUUAAUAUUAAUCGAUAUCCACAAGAUUGCGUAUGCAUGAAGAGUGACAAAAUGGGAAAAUAAAAAUUAUUCUGUCUGAGGUAUCAUUCCACUUAAUCAUUCUUCAAACCUCAAAUAAAAACAAAUGCAAAUAUGAGAAAAGCCACUAGCCCACUAGCAAUUCAAUUUAGUCCGGGAAAAUGUCGAAGUAUUAUGAAUCUUUAUUCCAUCAUUUCAUUACCAGAUUAGGUAUUUAUAAAUCCAAUAAAACAGUUCGACCACAUAAUAGUAAUUAUGUUAUAUGUAGUGGUUAAAUGUCUUCUGAAACAAAUUAAUUCAUUGUAUAAAUAACAAAGGAAAGGGUUAUUCUAAUGAUAUAUAAUUAUGUUCUAUGUCAUUAUAAAAAGUGCGGUUUCUAGCUGUUAGGUAGCCACUAUUAAUGAAAAUGCUUAGUUUGCUUCGAUAAUUGAGAUGACGAACUCUAAGCCUUUCAACUUUUCCUAGUAAACUUUGUCUUCUUUAAGCUUUGCACCAUCAAAACUGUUUAGCAUUUUAUGAACAUGUUUUUCUUCAUUAUUGCAGUGAACAAGUGAAGGACAGAUUUCUACUUCACUUUUUCUUUUCAUCCAAGGUCCUUUUGUGUUGAUUUACAAAUCGAUAACUUCAUGCGCGUAAUUUAAAAGCGUAUAAACCUUAGCCAAUCAAUCAGCCUUCCCUGAGACCCAAGUAGAUUAGUAUGUAAAUAUAUAACUACUGACAUCAUAAGACAAAUCUACAAACAAGAUAAUACUUGAUGUUAUAAGAAGAGAGUCUUCCGACUGCAUGAACAAUCCACGAUAAUCAAAUUGCAAGUCCAACACAAGAAUUCAAAGUGCAGUUCAUGCGUUAGACUUAACCAUACGCCCGACCUCCAACCCAUAAAUAAUAAGUAGCAAUCACAUUAUCAGGUUUGAACUUAACACAGCCUAAGACACAAUUCUAGUGUCGAGCUUAAUUAGAGACAUGGGCUUGGCACAUGCAAAGUUUUACCUUGGAAGAAAUUCACAUGUAAUAUCUAUUUGGGAAAGGGAAGUGGAAGAGAUGAUCAACCUAAGAACAAUUGAGCACCCAUAAUAUCUCUAUAAGAAGACAGGAUAAAACCCUAGCUCAGAAAAAAUUGCAUAAAAUCACAUAUUAAAAUAACACAUAUCAUAACUACAAGAUCCGAUGAGAUCGUUUCCGAAUCAAAACACGAGGAGAGGCAAAAAAAAAAGAAAAAAAAAAUCAAAUCAAAUCAAAUCAAAACCAGAUCGAACAAGAUCGGAAGAACUCGUAACGGUGAAAAUCGAUCAACCUAUCGAUCGAUCGAUCGCUCGCUCGCUCGCUAGCUACAAGAAGAGAAAAAUUUGAACGUGUAUUCCAUUUGGGAAAGGGAAGAGGAAGAGAUGAUCACCGCGAUUGGGUUGCUUCGCCGCAGAGAGCUCCUCAGAUUUAACCUUUCCUCUUUCUUCGAUGUGGAGGAAACGAAGAGAGAGAGGGGGGCGGCGGGGUAGUAUUUAUAGCAAGGAGAAGGGGAUCGGAAGGUAACCCUUGUGUCUCAUGGUUCAGAUUUUAGGGCACCACUUACAUUAGUUUGCCCGCAAUUUGCCUUUGAAUUACCUUUUUGCCCCUCCAAAGGCGGUAGCAGCAGCCGCUGCUCAUAGGGGUGUAAACGAGCCGAACACGCCCAGUAAAAUAUCGACUCGAAAAAUUCAGCUCGUGUUCGGUUCGUUAAUAAACGAGCUGAACAUAAGCUGGCUCACGAGCUGACCAACGACCAAUAAGUUAAUAAGGAUUAGAUUGAAUAUGCAUAAAAAUAUAAAUUUAUAAAAUCUUAUCUAUUAAACUUUGAUCUAAUAAUUGAAACUUUACAUAUAAAUAAGUUUUUUUAUAAUUAAACUUUUAUUUAUAUUUUUAUUUUACUAAAAAUUAAAUAAUAAAAUUAUAUCUUAUAUAUAAUAUUUAUUUAUAUAUAAAAAUAUAAAUUAAAUUAAUUAUAUAAAUAUAAAAUAUAUGUAUUCGAGCUGUUAUCGUGCCAAACACGAGCGAGCUUAUCCCAGCUCGUAUUCGGCUCGUUUAUUAAAC